Molecule: long non-coding RNA, 74093 nt
Filed under: Sorghum bicolor (sorghum)
Lineage: Eukaryota; Viridiplantae; Streptophyta; Magnoliopsida; Poales; Poaceae
Description: long non-coding RNA (SBIC_LNC012631)
Source: RNAcentral
UAGCCUUCACCCGGGAGUAUUCCAGAGUAUCGAUUUUCCACAGGGAACGUGAGUGUACUAAUUAAGAUUCAAGAUCGCCCAAGGAUAACUAUAUAAUUAUUUUUUUGGUGGGAAGAGAGGAAGUUUCUUGAGAGUUCUCUAGUUGAUCUAAGAAUCAAGAAUUACUUCAAGAUUAUUUAUAUCGGGACAUCAGAGCACUAACCACAGAAAGAGAUGAGAAGGGGGCUAGGAAGGUCUGACUACGGUCCUACAAACACCGUUCCGAACGAGGUGGAAUACGUCGACCGUUAGGGCUGUCACUACCCUAAGGCUACCACAACAAUCCGCAGGAUUGGGUGCAAUUCCAGGUAAUUGCAAGACUAAACACCACAUCUAAUCUAUUAAUUACUACUCUAAUGUUGCAAAGAUUAGAGCACUUGAUGCAAGCGGGAAUCCAAUAAAUAACUUGAAUAUAAAUAAAAGUAAUUAAAGAACUCAGGAUUAUGAAUUGAAGAACCUGGAGAACGAUGAAGAACGAACCAGUUGCUGCAAAAGUACAAUGUUGAGGAAGAUCCGACAGAUCCGGCUCCUCCUCCGCUCUCCUCUUCUCUCUCCCUAUUUUCUAGAUUACAACUAGAACUAACUAGAACUAGAACUAGAGGAACUAGAACUAGAACUAGAUGAACUAGAACUAGAUCUAGAUGAACUAGAGGUAGAACUAGAAGAACUAGAGGGAUCCUCUCUACUUGGAUGAAGAAUUGAAACCCUAGCUUUGAUUCUGUAGAAGAGGUAUGCCUCCAGGGGCUGGUGGGGGUAUGCUUAUAUAGUUCAGGAAGAGUAGCCCUCAAGAAAUAUAGGAAGAGUAGCUCCCAAGAAAUCUAGGAAGAGUAGCUCCCAAGGAAUUUCCACGUUAUUCUCCACCAUCCGAUCAAACCGACCUUAAUCGUGUGAUUUUCCUUGAUCCUUAGAGUCGGUGGAGCACGAUCCGCGAAGUUGACCCUGAUUGGGCAGCAGAGGAGGGCGGGCGCCCAGGGGGGUAGGGCGGGCGCCCUACCUCCGGGCCCGCUCGGCCUCCCGUUCGUUCCCGUGGCUUCUGGAGUCUUCUAGAUGAUAGAAAAUUGCAUGGCACGUUAAUAUCUCUAUGUAAUCCCGACGUGUGGGCCUUUCUUCCGUAUUUCCUGAUAACCCCCUGCAGAAAUAGACAAACACCAAAACUCGUGGAAUUCUGUCAGAUAAAACCCUAAGUCUGGGUGUUGGUUGCAUUUGGAUCCUUUUCCAUGAUUAGUUGAUGGUUAAAUGUGAGCAUUAAGGACCGUCAACAAGCUCCCCCAAGCUUAACCCUUGCUCGUCCCUGAGCAAAGCUAAAAUCAGUAAGAAAAUAGGGGUUACUUUUAUGCCUCUUACUACAGGGUUUUUAAGUUAUCACUAAGGUCUUAAGUGAUUGAAAAACAGAACGAUCAAGUCAAGCACUAUGUCUCAAGUUCUUUUGUCUUACCUUUGUUCUGGAGUUUUUAUAAGUCUGCAAAAUAAAACUGAGGCAUUUGUCUUCUUCUCAAAAGAUUUGUAAGUAGAGCUUUAAAGUUUUAGCAUACUUACUUUGUAUUUUGCUAUGUCAACGCUCGCAGUAAGGGAGAGGAAUGUCAUACUCCUAGAUCAAGACCUUUGACCUUUUUGAAAAGUUUGUCAUCUCUUACUGGCAUAUUGCUUAUUAGAGGGACCAUGGGCUAUCAUUUUUUUUCUUUUUUUUUCAGUCUCUCUUUUUUUUCAAGUGGGCAGCAAGUACCCCUAAUUCUACUGUCGGACACAUGUCUAUUUUUUCCACUCAGGUGGGUAUCUUUGUACCCCUAAUUCUACUUCGGACACUUGUCCAUUUUUACCUCUCGUCUCACUCUCUUUUUUUUUCGAAUCAAAUUUUUGCAUAGUCCCAUGCCUCUAACGCGAUGAUACUUCGGAAGAGUGAAUCUUUUAUAUUUUUAAAACAAAAAGAUCUUGAUCUUGGGAGCAUGAUAAUUCUCUCAACCAAAACUACAAGAAUUAACAAUGGCUUGAACAAAGCAAGUGCCCACAGUUUUAAUAUUUAUAUCUCAUAAGACUCUAGGUACAAUGAUCUCAUAUAUUUUUUUAUGAAUUUUUAGAUUUUCAAAUGAUAAAAUCUCCAGAACUCUAGCAAAACUUGGAACAAGUUAAAUAGUAGCUCAGACCUGCUCAUAUCAUGUUUGUCAAUUACCUAGACUUGGAUCAAACUUUUUAUUUUUAUUUUUAUUUAAAACUUAGGAUUACACAAAACUAUUGUAUAUUACUCAAAAGAAAAACUUUGUUUGGUUUCAUGGUUAUGCAUUUUUAUUUAUUUAUUUAUUUCCGAAUACUAGAAAAUAAAACAAAAGGAAGAAAAGUAAUACUUAUCUAGAUACACGUGGGGGUGCCUCCCCCAAGCUGGAUGUUGACAUAGUCGUUCACUCUUGUGGCCUGCAUGGUUGGUCUCACUCUUCUUAAGCCUCAAAAUCCAGCACAACCCAAAUAGACAAAAAAACUUGUGGAACAUGUUAAGGGUUAGGUAAUUGUCUAGAGCUUAUGAGAGCUUAAUGUGAGAAUUCUAUGAACUCCAUCACAUCAAGUUCCUCUACCAAGUUGUUUUGUGGCUCGAGAUAGAUUUUCAAGCGUUGACCAUUUACCUUAAAAGUGUUACCUAUGUCGUCUUGGAUGGUAAUGGCUCCAUGAGUUGAAGUGUCAAUAACCUUGUAUGGUCCAUCCCACUUACUUCGUAGCUUACCAUGCCCAAAGAGCUUAACUCUUGAAUUGAAUAGUAGAACCUUAUCUCCAGGCUUAAACUCCUUGUGCUUGAUUCUCUUAUCAUGCCAUCGUUUUGUCCUCUCUUUAUAAAUCCUUGAAUUGUGGUAGGCUUUCUCACUCCAUUCUUCUAGCUCAGAUAGUUGCAUCAGACGAUUCUUGCUAGCAAGGUGGAGAUCCAUGUUCCAUUUCUUGAGUGCCCAAUGAGCCUUAAACUCUACUUCCACAGGCAAGUGACAAGUUUUUCCAUAUACAAGUUGAUAAGGUGACAUGCCUAUGGGUGUUUUGAAUGCAGUUCUAUAUGCCCAAAGUGCAUCAGGAAGUUUGUCCUUCCACCCCUUACCCAUCUCAUCUACGGUCUUUUGUAAAAUAUUUUUGAUUUGUUUGUUAGAUGUUUCGGCUUGACCGCUAGUCUGAGGAUGGUAUGGUGUUGCGACGUUGUGUCGAACUCCAUGAUUGGCUAGGUACUUCCGGAAGAUUUUGUCGAUGAAGUGGGAACCUCCAUCGCUUAUAACUAUCUGGGGUAUACCAAAGCGAGGAAAGAUUAUUUCAUGGAACAUUCUCUUGGCAUGUUUUGAAUCAGCUGAUCGACAAGGUAGGGCUUCUACCCAUUUGGACACGUAGUCCACAGCUACUAAGAUAUACUCGCAAUUCCCAGACAUAGGGAAUGGUCCCAUGAAAUCAAUGCCCCAUACAUCGAAAAGUUCUACUUGAAGGUUAUUUGUGAGAGGCAUUUCAUUUCGUGAAUUGAUAUUCCCAUGUUUUUGACAUCGGUGGCAUCUCCUGACAAAGUCUUUUGUAUCUUCAUACAUCGUUGGCCAGAAAAAGCCACUUUGCCAAAUUUUAGCAUGUGUCCGGAAUGCUCCAUAGUGUCCUCCAUAUGGCGAGGCAUGGCAUCUUUCCAUAAUUUCAGUAGCCUCGGCCAUAGGAACACACCUUCUCAAGAGUCCAUCAGCGCAGACUCGGAAAAGAUAUGGCUCAUCCCAAUGGUGGAAAUGACUAUCGUGAAGCAACUUCCUUUUGUUUGCACCAGGUGGGACAUAGCCUUUUACUAUAAAGUUUUCGAUGUCUGCGUACCAUGGAUCUGCAUGUGUUAUCUUAAGCAGGGUGUCAUCCCUUAGGUAGUCAUUUAUGGGAAGUUCAUCAUGUGUUUCCUUAUAUUGAAGCCUAGACAAGUGGUCGGCUACAGAAUUCUCAACUCCCUUCCUAUCUCGGAUUUCUAUGUCAAAGUCUUGGAGUAGAAGAAUCCAUCGAAUUAGACGAGGCUUAGCAUCUUUCUUAGUGAGGAGGUACUUGAGAGCAGCAUGGUCUGAAUAGAUGAUUAUCUUUGCCCCCACUAAGUAAGAUCUAAACUUGUCUAUAGCAAAGACAACAGCCAAAAGCUCUUUUUCAGUUGUAGUGUAAUUGAGCUGUGGUCCAGACAAGGUUUUGCUAGCGUAGGAUAUGGCAUAAUGCUUUCUAUCCUUGGUUUGUCCUAAAACGGCACCAACCGCAAAAUCGCUAUCAUCGCACAUGAUCUCAAAAGGAAGAUUCCAAUCAGGUGGUUGGAUGAUUGGGGCUGAGAUGAGUGCUUUCUUAAGAGUUUGAAAAGAUUCAUGACACUCAUCACUAAAGAUGAAAGGUGCGUCCUUAGCUAGGAGAUUAGUUAGGGGUCUAGCAAUUUGAGAGAAAUUCUUGAUAAAGCGUCUAUAGAACCCUGCAUGUCCCAAAAAGCUACGGAUUCCUUUCACAUUCGUGGGAGGUGGAAGUUUUUCAAUAACUUCAAUCUUUGCUUUGUCCACCUCUAUACCACAUUCGGACACUUUAUGUCCUAGCACUAUUCCUUCCUGAACCAUAAAAUGGCAUUUCUCCCAGUUCAGGAUUAAGUGUUUUUCUUCACAUCGCUGCAAGACUCUAUCUAAAUUCUCCAAACAAUGAUCGAAGGUUUUGCCAUAGAUGGUAAAAUCAUCCAUGAAAACCUCCAUGAUCUUCUCAAUCAUGUCUGAGAAAAUAGACAUCAUGCACCGUUGGAAAGAAGCUGGAGCAUUGCACAAUCCGAACGACAUUCGUUGGUAUGCAUAAGUUCCAUACGGGCAUGUAAAGGUAGUCUUUUCUUGGUCAUCUGGGUGGAUUGGGAUUUGGUGAUAUCCAGAAUAACCAUCAAGGAAACAAAAGAAAGAGUGGUUUGCAAGCCGUUCUAACAUUUCAUCAAUGAAGGGUAACGGAAAGUGAUCUUUCUUUGUAGCCUUGUUGAGUUUUCGGUAGUCAAUACACAUACGCCACCCAGUGACAAUUCGUUGAGGGAUGAGUUCAUUCUUCUCAUUCCUAACGACCGUCAUUCCUCCUUUCUUUGGCACUACUUGUACAGGGCUAACCCACUCACUAUGUGGCACAUGAUAAAUAAUCCCAACAUGAUAGAGUUUGAGGACCUCUUUCUUAACGACCUCUCGCAUAGCAUUGUUAAGUCUUCGUUGUUGUUCCCUUGAAGGUGUAGAAUUGGGAUCAAUAGGGAUACGAUGAGUGCAGAGAAUGGGAAUCCAAUAAAUAACUUGAAUGUAAAUAAAAGUAAUUAAAGAACUCAGGAUUAUGAAUUGAAGAACCUGGAGAACGAUGAAGAACGAACCAGUUGCUGCAAAAGUACAAUGUUGAGGAAGAUCCGACAGAUCCGGCUCCUCCUCCGCUCUCCUCUUCUCUCUCCCUAUUUUCUAGAUUACAACUAGAACUAACUAGAACUAGAACUAGAGGAACUAGAACUAGAACUAGAUGAACUAGAACUAGAUCUAGAUGAGCUAGAGGUAGAACUAGAAGAACUAGAGGGAUCCUCUCUACUUGGAUGAAGAAUUGAAACCCUAGCUUUGAUUCUGUAGAAGAGGUAUGGCUCCAGGGGCUGGUGGGGGUCUGCUUAUAUAGUCCAGGAAGAGUAGCCCUCAAGAAAUCUAGGAAGAGUAGCUCCCAAGAAAUCUAGGAAGAGUAGCUCCCAAGGAAUUUCCACGUUAUUCUCCACCAUCCGAUCAAACCGACCUUAAUCGUGUGAUUUUCCUUGAUCCUUAGAGUCGGUGGAGCACGAUCCGCGAAGUUGACCCUGAUUGGGCAGCAGAGGAGGGCGGGCGCCCUGCCUCCGGGCCCGCUCGGCCUCCCGUUCGUUCCCGUGGCUUCUGGAGUCUUCUAGAUGAUAGAAAAUUGCAUGGCACGUUGAUAUCUCUAUGCAAUCCCGACGUGUGGGCCUUUCUUCCGUAUUUCCUGAUAACCCCCUGCAGAAAUAGACAAACACCAAAACUCGUGGAAUUUUGUCAGAUAAAACCCUAAGUCUGGGUGUUGGUUGCAUUUGGAUCCUUUUCCAUGAUUAGUUGAUGGUUAAAUGUGAGCAUUAAGGACCGUCAACAGCGACCAUCAUGGGGGUGCCCUUGGAUCUCCUCCACUUCAUUGUCGGAGGCCGCCGGGGCCUCCUCGCCCUCUGCGCUACCUCCAGCCAUGGUAAUGGGUAUCAAAGGACCCUUACCCCGACCAGGGGAGCCCUCUGGCGAAGAAGCCUCUGCUCGGGGUGGAGUUGGGGUCCUCUCUUCAGCAGGCGGGGGAGUCAGGGCUCUGUCUCCCUCCUCCGCGACACUGCUCGGGGGAGGCAUCCUUGCAGCCUCAUCGCCCCUUGUCAGGGUGCUCCCCCCGGUCCUCGCUUGAGCCGGGUCCUGCUCGACAGUCUUCGCCACGGUCACAACCGCGGGCUGCUCCUCGGUCUGCUCCUGGGUGGUCUGCUCGACGGCGUUAUCAACGACAACCUCCGGCUCGGCCGUUCUCUGGCCAGCGACGUUGCCCGGAUCAACAUCCGAUGCCGCACUAGCAAAAGGAGACAUCAUGCCAACGUCAAAAUUCGCAGCAAAUAAAAAAACAAGUAGGAGGAAGUGCAGAAGACAAGUUACAGAACUCACAGGUCGGAGCGUUUGUGCGUCGCCGCGAAGAAUCUCCUCCUUGUCCUACCAGUCGCCGUUGCCGCCUCUGUCCCCCCAAGUCGUGUCGGCUCGGUGCGCGGUUGUUGAUAUUUGGUAACGCAAUAAGGAAAUGAUCCGCAAGCGCACGGAUAUCGGUGAGCAUUUCACCCGGGAGGUUAUCUAGAGUAUAGUAUUUAUAUUUUUACCACUGGGAGAAAGCGUGCAUCUGACUAACCAAAUCUAUUGCUACUAUCCUUUAGGCUACAAAGAAUGUUUCUCGAUGUGAGCGAUGUAUACAGAAGACUGCAACCGUAGUCUCAUUCUAACCUUGGUAAGGAUGAUCUACUGUUCUAUUAGGGAAGCUUACGGAAUCUAGACACCACAAAGGAUGUUCGACCCGCACCUAUAAACCCUAUCCUUCCCGCUAACGAGAUAUGGGCUUCAAAGGUAACUCGGAAAUGUCACGUUCCUCGCUACUACCACGAUCCAGCUAGUCAGGGGAUAUCUAUGAGUACCGUAGCCCAAACACCACAUUUACACUAGCGAUGAUUACUCUAAACUCAACCAAAAUAGAUUAAAGUAAACUCAUAAACCAAAGAACAGUAAAACAAGAACUUACUAGAAUUUAGAAGUCAAAUUACUGAAGAAUCCUAGGAGCAAGCCUUGGGUUAGGAGAACUUGAUCCCACAGGUACAACCUCGGAGUAGACACCGACAGGCCAGGCUUCCUCCGAUCUACACCUCCACUCUAUCUCUCUCAAUCUAGUAGAAACUAGAAGAUCUAAUUCUACUCACAUUGGAUGCUAAGCCUAAAAGAAAUUUUAUUUAGAGGAGAGGUAUUGCUUCGAGGGCACCUCUCAACUCUAUGAUGAACUUGUCUCCUCCAGGGGCCAGGGGGUCUGGUUUUAUAGUCCCCUCAGGUGAACGUGGGCCGUCGGAUCAAACCGACAUUGAUUGAAUGGUUAUCCUUGAUCCUUUAGGUCGGUGGACCUAAUCCCCAAAGAGUGUCCUGAUUGGACUCUGGGACAGGGCGGGCACCCUGCCCCGAGGCCCGAUCGCCUCCCCGUUCGUUCCCAUGGCUUCUGGAGUCUUCUAGAUGACAGAAAAUUGCGCGACACGUUAAUAUCUCUAUGUAAACCCGACAUGUGGGCCUUUCCGCCAUAUUUCCUGAUGACCCCCUGCAGAAAUAGACAAACACCAAAACUCGUGGAAUUCUGUCAGAUAAAACCCUAAGUCUGGGUGUUGGUUGUAUUUGGAUCCUUUUAUUUAUUUAUUUGAUAAUUAUAUUUGGUACUUAAGGACCGUCAACAACUCCCCCAAGCUUACCUCUUGCUCGUCCCUGAGCAAGGACGGACUUAAGAGUUUCUACAGUGGUUUCAUGCCUUAAAAGUAAGAUCUCAUCUCUGAGUUAGAGUAAACUUGCUUAGACUUAAAACUUACUCAUUUUACCUUUCACCAUGGGGCUUGUAACCGUCACUUGUGUCUUGAGUAGUUAAAAGAUAGAACGGUCAAGUCAAGCGCCAUGUCUCUUAUUCUUGAUCAGCUAUAGCUCUGGAGUUUUUGCAGAUUUUCAAAUAAAACUCAAAGAUUCCUUAUAUGAUUCUCUCAAAUCUCUCUUUUGUGUUAUUUCUGGAUCCUUUCCAAGGUAGUAAUGGUAUAUUCCUUCUCUCAAAGUAUGUGGUAUUUUUGGUAUGAGGCAUAGUGAUAUUGCCUUCUCUCUCACCCUACUCUAAUAAGGUUUUGAUAUCUAGAGCUCAUAGGUGGGAGACAGAUAAUACAUACUUACAAGACAUUUAUUGCAUAGUGAAACCAUGGAUCCAGAAGAACAAGUCAAUAAGUCAAAUCAAGAUGUGCAUGUGUGGCGAGUGAAUGGUGUAUGGUGAUGAUGGUGAUAACAAUGGUGAAAGUCUAAUUCUACUUUUGCUCUUUUAAGGGGACACAUACCUUUCUUGCACUUUGAAGCUUUUUGAGGAGAAUGAGAUGCUCUGUAUUUUCUUUUUUCUUUUUCUCUCAGGUGGGUAUCUUUGUACCCCUAAUUCUACUGUCGGACACUUGUCCAUUUUUACUUCUCGUCUCACUUUUUUUUUUCUUCGAGGUUCCGGGCACUUGCCCCUUUUUAUUUCCUCAUAUUUUUCCUUCUCUUCUUCUUUUUUUUAGAGCACUCAUCUCCUAAAAUAAUAUAGCAAGUGGUAGUAACCAAGAUAGCUCAUAAGCAGUAAAAAGUAAUUGUAUGGUUCUUAGUCUAAUAAGCAUGUAUAUGUGGUUGUGGUAGGAUUUUAAACUCUCAUCAUACAGGAACUCAUCAUGUGUUAUUUUAAAGAUUUUCAAAGAUAAAAUCCUCCAGAAUUCUAGCAUCUCUAGGAAUAGAUAAAUAGCAGUUGAACCUUCCCAUAUCAUAUCCGUUAACGACUUAGACUUUUGAUCAGGUACUCUUCCCACAAGUUUAGGUUUAGAGCAAGCUUUGAAUUAUAACAGUUAUGCCUAAACUUGAGAGAGCUCAAACUUAAAAACUAGGUACAUGGCAAAGCAACUAUUUAUCAUUUCCAUGUGAGAGCUUAUCAUGAGGGUUGAUAGCAAGCUUUAUUUAUUUAUUUAUCUAACAAACUAAGCAAACAACGCAAAAUCUUUAUUUGGGUUUUUAUGAUUAUGCAUCUUUUUAUUAUUUGAGUAAUGUAUAAACGUGAGUAGAACACUUAGCUGGAUAAAUGGGGGUGCUCUCCCCCAAGCUGGAUUUUGACGUAAUUUCUUCUGAUAUAGCUAGCAGAUGACGGAGGUGUAUUUGAAUGUUGACGGCACCCUGACAGCGAUUACUACGUCCUCCGUCUGCUAGUCUUCUUUGAUCCUUGAAUUCUGUAGAGCUCAAAUAGACAACAAAGCUUUGUGGAACUGGUUAAGUGUUAGCAUAAAAUCUCUUAGCCUUUAUCAUAUUGAGAUUCCUCCUAAUAAAUAUUACUUGGUAGGAUCAUAAAUUUAUUUUUAUAUAUUCAUUUUUAUAGGACAGGAAUAUAUUUAUUUUAUUUUUAUGCCACGACAGUAAAUGUACUUAUGGGUUUUAUGCCAUGAGCAUACUCACAUGGGGCUUACUGUUUUUAACAUUUUUAUUUUCUUUUCAAGAUGAUAUGAACCUGAUUAACUAAGCAAACUAUUGAAAGGAAAAGGAAAACUACCAAGUUUACCUCUUGGCAAGGCAUUCGGUGUUUUUAAGUCCUCCGAACGGGACACUCCGUUUUCUCAGUCGUCCUGGGGAUUUACUGGAUGGCGUAGUCGGUGGUUCCGGCGGCGCCUCCUCUUCGUGUGUAACUAUCUUCUCUCUCCACACCUGACUCGGUGCUACGGUCUCCUUAGGACAGUUCUGUUCAAGCUGUGUGGCUUUAGACCUUACCACUUCUCCUUCGUAGUCUGCCCAUCCGUCCUUGAUGAUUUGCCUCCUCUGGUUGCGGUUGCGUCGUCUUCUUCUUGUCCUGACCUGCUUAGAGUAUUCAACUAUAUAGUUAAGGUCAGUAAAAUAGCGGUGUACCUUUUCAGAGGGGAAAUGUAUGUGGACUUCUCCGGUUCCAAUAUAGAUGAUGGCUUUGAUAGUGUUGAGGAACGAUCUUCCAAGGAUGGUGGGUAGAUCGUACUCGUCUUCUCCCAUGUCAAUGACCUGAAAAUCAUCUGGAGCUGAAUGUUUGUUGGUUGUAGCGGCAUGGUUCCAUGCAGGAGCUGAUAAGUGACUGCGGCCAUUAUGUUGACGUCAGAUCCGGUGUCGUAGAGUGUCUUCUGAAAAGAGUAUCCGUUGAUUGUGCACUCGAUGCUUGGAACACCAGGGUCGUCCUUCGUGUUCAUCCUUUAGGUGCAUCAUUUGAUUAAGUGUUGACCUUGAUAUCUGCACCUCUUGAUACAGUGUCACCCAUGUUCUUCGUUUGCCUAGCAGUUCGAGGUGCGGCAUUGGCAGCAUCCUACUCAGUGUGUUUGUGCUCGUAGAUCUAGGUCCUUCACUUGGUGGAGUCUGGGAGUUGUAAAACUCCUCCAUGUUUUGCUUGAAGUGUACCUGUUCAUAGAGACAAGGCAGGGAUCAAGUGCAUGGGCCCUGUUGGUGGGAAACACCAACAGAACCAAAAGUGUAUUUGUUCUUCUCUAACCUUAAGCAUAGUGAGCAAGAAAAAGUUGAUGGAUCAUGAGUCUAGCAUUUGAAACAUUUGUCAGAUCAGAUGGCUCAACCUAAUGGAAAGAUAAUCUAUCUAUAUUUAUGUUUUGUUUAUAUCUUCCAAAGAUUGAAUGUGCAACAUAUUAGCUUAUAUGAUUAGGAGUGUGGGAUCACGAAGGUAGUACUAAGAACAAAGAUUAAAGGACUAAUCAUGUUGAUUUAACUGAGUUUGUUAAUUUGGAGCUACAAAUCAUACAUGUUUGUAUCUUUUAUUCAUGUGUAUGCCAGAACCGAGGAGAAGCUUAUAAAAGUGAUAGUCAAGUACCUUAAGGUGUUACCUUACUUGAAGAGUGAUGGUAUAGUAUCACCUUUCUUAGCGGUUAUGCAUCGUGUUUGUGGCACCCUCCAUGGAUCAUCUCUUUAUGAUGAAUGAGCUAUGUCUUCCGUGUGCAAAUCAUUAAACUUCAUGUGUCUUCUUUGUCUCCGAUGUGAGUUUAUCUGAAGACUUCCCAGGUUGAUAUUUAAAGUUUCCCUGCAGGGGUUAGUCCAACAAAAUAUCCCAUAUCUACUAUAGCAUACUAUUGGCUCAAAAAUCAACCUAGACACCAUGUCUAAUUUGAUUUAGGAGGGCAUUUUAACCUAAGCACCAUGCUUAAUUUAAAAAACCUUUUGAAGUAAUAUCAUCAUUCAUAAACUAAGCACCAUGCUUAAUUAAGAGAUAAAUGAAACUACUCCAAACCUAGACAUAUACUAAAGCAAAUAAAGGUAGCAUGAAAGCAUUUAUAGAGAUCUACUCAGGUGGAGGUGAAGUAGUGUAAUUAGUAUUUAACAAACUGAGCAUGUCUCAAAGGUAAGGACAACCAACAUAGCAACAUGGCAAAGGAUGUUUUUAUGUAAAGUACUCCCCUAAGAUUGAAUUUUGCAAAACUCAAGUUUGGAUGAAUUUAAUUCAAUGUUGUGUGAUGGUUGGUUGGACAUACCUUGUGCUUGUCAUUCAUCCGAUCUUCUUGCUUCAAUCCUGGAAAGGUUAGUGGCAAGAAUACCCGAAGGAAUAUUUCUACAAUUAUCUUUAUAUGCUCAAUACAUAAGGCAAUGUUGCAAAUAAUUAGAAGUUCAUGUUAUGAUCUGAUAAGUGCUUGUUUUAGGACACUAAGCUUGUCCUUGGGAAACCAUCAAUCAACUCAACAAGAUCUGCAAUAUUUAUUAUAGAGAUAUGCAUCGACAACCGCUCUUUUAAAGUUUUUAUAAAUAGAAAGGAAGAGGGGGUUGGAGAUCUUAAAUGUGGUGAUGUUGGAGAGACCAAUUGAUUGGGGAGAUGUUUUAUAUGAGCAAGGACUUUGUGAGGUAUUUAUGAAAUAACUUCCAUGCUCACUGUUGUUUCUCUCAUUCUCAAACUCCAAGGAUGAUUCUUUAUGAAUGCUUAAAGUUCCUCUAGGAUUGUCUCUCAAGUUUGUUUUAUCCAUCCAUUCAAUGGUGAUAGCACAUGGAUUUUUAAUGCCCUCUAGCCAUCGAUGUUGCUCUUCUCGAUCCUCGUUGUGGUCUUGGUGACUCUUAUGCAUGGGAUGUCUAGAUAGAUUCAUAGGAUCAUCAGGAGGUUCAAGAGAAAGAGCAUAGUAGAAAUUAUUAAGCUCAAGGAUGGGAUGGAUAGCCGAAUCAUGGAAUUGAAAUGUUUGGAAAUCGGCUAUUGAAACUUCCUUUCCUUAUAUGGGAGAUGAUUCCUUCUCUAUCUCUAGGAAUUUCUUAUGAAGACUAGUGCAAGAAGGAUGUCCACAAAUGAAGACAUACCUUCCUUUACUAAUAGAUAAAGAAAGAAAGACUCUACCAAAGGUUAUAUGAUUAAGACCAAUGUGAAAAUAUCGAGAAAAAACAUGGUCUUGUAUGGCUAGGUUUAAACCAUAAAUUAUAGAAAAAUUAAAAGAUUUCCCUGGUGUAGCUAAAAGUUCAUUAUUUUCUUGAUUAAAAGAUAGGACCUCAGCUAUAGAAAAGGGUUGGUUUUGACCGAUUGCAAUUAACUUCGGACACAGAUCAUAAUUAGGGGCAGGACUUGUUGAAUCCCAUGGUCUAUGGCUGGUCUCCGAAGGUGCAAAAAAUUCAAUAAUAGGGGUAGAACUUGAGUUAUACACAAAGAUGGAAAAAAUAAAAAGAUAAGAGAAUAAAAGUAUAAUACAAGAUAAUAGCAAGACUUAAAGUUAUCUCAACAAACCGUCUUUCUCCCCGGCAACGGCGCCAGAAAUGCUUGUUGAUAUUUGGUAACGCAAUAAGGAAAUGAUCCGCAAGCGCACGGAUAUCGGUGAGCAUUUCACUCGGGAGGUUGUCCAGAGUAUCGUAUUUAUAUUUUUACCACUAGGAGAAAGUGUGCAUCUGACUAACCAAAUCUAUUGCUACUAUCCUUUAGGCUACAAAGAAUGUUUCUUGAUGUGAGCGAUGUAUAGAGAAGAUUACAACCGUAGUCUCGUUCUAACCUUGGUAAGGAUGAUCUACUAUUCUAUUGGGGAAGCUUACGGAAUCUAGACACCACAAAGGAUGUUCGACCCGCACCUAUAAACCCUAUCCUUCCUGCUAACGAGAUAUGGGCUUCAAAGGUAACUCGGAAAUGUCACGUUCCUCGCUACUACCACGGUCCAGCUAGUCAGGGGAUAUCUAUGAGUACCCUAGCCGAAACACCACGUUUACGCUAGCAAUGAUUACUCUAAACUCAACCGGAAGAGACUAAAGUAAACUCAUAAACCAAAGAACAAUAAAACAAGAACUUACUAGAAUUUAGAAGUCGAAUUAAUGAAGAAUCCUAGGAGCAAGCCUCGGGUUAUGAGAACUUGAUCCCGCAGGUACAACCUCGGAGUAGACACCGACAGGCCGGGCUUCAUCCGAUCUACACCUCCACUCUAUCUCUCUCAAUCUAGUAGAAACUAGAGGAUCUAAUUCUACUCACAUUGGAUGCUAAGCCUAAAAGAAAUUUAAUUUAGAGGAGAGGUAUUCCUUCGAGGGCACCUCUCAACUCUGAUGACCCCCUCAGGUGAACGUGGGCCGUCGGAUCAAACCGACAUUGAUUGAACGGUUAUCCUUGAUCCUUUAGGUUGGUGGAGCGUCCUGGGGGGGGCGGGCGCCCUAGGGGGGAGGGCGGGCACCCUGCCCCCGGGCCCGAUCGCCUUCCCGUUCGUUCCCGUGGCUUCUGGAGUCUUCUAGAUGACAGAAUAUUCUGCGGCACGUUAAUAUCUCUAUGUAAACCCGACAUGUGGGCCUUUCCUCCAUAUUUCCUGAUGACCCCCUACAGAAAUAGACAAACACCAAAACUCGUGGAAUUCUGUCAGAUAAAACCCUAAGUCUGGGUGUUGGUUGUAUUUGGAUCCUUUUAUUUAUUUAUUUGAUGAUUAUAUUUGGUACUUAAGGACCGUCAACAGCGGGGCAGGAGGUUCACUGGUCACCCGACCAGUGUCGAUCGGCGCGACGUCAGGCCGACUGCACGCUCUUCGGACCAAGGACUGAGCAGCUUCGUCCUCCUCUUCCUCGUCGUCGGCGAUCCUCAUGAGCCGACGACGCUUCGGGGCCUGGCUGGUCUCCGCCAGCAACGCCUCUGUGGGGGAUGGCUCCACAGCUAUUGGCCUUUUCCAUGCUGCCCGGUCCUCAGUGGUCGGUGCUGGUCGGCUCUGAUCUUCUUCGCUGCUGGUGUAUUGGGGACACCGAGCAGCUUCAUCCACCGGUGGAUCCACUCGAGCUGGGUGGUCCAUACCGGGUGCUAGUGAUACAUACACCAACCACCGGUCGAUAUCUCCUAUCUGCAAUACAACAAUGACAAGUUAUCAGUCAAAAGGUUGCAGUAUUCCCAUAGCAAUGUGAAUAAACAAAGGUACUUGUUUACCUUAGGAGCUGGUCGACCUAGUUUGAAGGCGUGCAUCCGGUCAUCACUUCGAACAAAGUUAUCAUCAGACAAAUUGAAUAACUCAUUCAUCAGUUGCUGGACCUCUGUCUUCUCCAGACCAUCCGGGCACAUCCUGGUCGGGUCUUGGCUCCCCGCGUACUCAUACGCCGAGUGUACCCUCUUCUGGCAAGGCAUCAACCGACGCACAAGGAAGUUCGCGACCACUCUUGGCCCGUCUAAGCGAGACCAGUCGAUCAGGCUCAUUAGCUCUGCCACUUGGCCAGUGUAUUCUGGACGGUCUGUCCAGCUGACCCUCUUCUCAGGAUGUUGCCCACGUCGUAGAACGUGGCGCUGCCCGGCUCUUCCCUGAUGUAGAACCACUUCUUGUACCAUUCGGUGAGAGAAGUGUUCCAUGGGCAGCUGAGGUACCAGUUCUUCAUCCCGUCGUGCAGAUUGAGGUAUACUCCACCUGCAAUCUUGGAGCCUCCAACUGCUCCUUUCUUUCUCAAACAGAAAAGAUAGCGAAAGAGAUCGAAGUGCGGCUCUAUUCCAACAUAGGCCUCGCACAGAUGGAUGAAUGUGGAGAUAAGAAGAGUAGAGUUUGGGUGUAGAUUGCAAAUCCCGAUCUCAUAGUAGAGAAGAAGACCCUGGAGAAAAGGAUGGAUGGGAAUCCCAAAACCCCUUUUAAAGAAAUCUUCGAAGACUGUGCAGGAGUCCCUUUUCAACGAGGUCAUUGAGGGACAUUGUGUUGCUCUGGGAUUUCUUCCAUUCCUUGGCCAUCAUCUCGGCCCUCUUCUUGGCAUCGCUCUUCGCCAUUUCAACUCUUGGAAAGUCUCGAGCUCAGUUUUGAGGCUUGAAGGUGCUGAGAAAGAUGGAGGCUGGGCAAUAGUAUGCGACUGCCGAGUAAAAAACAAGGAUAUGACCUUGGGCUUUUAUAACAACAGCCUCACCUCUACCACUUCCCGCAUUCUGGGGAAGUGGGCGGAUCCUGCGGCGGCCGCGGCGUUUCGGUUCUCAAUAAUUAUCGCAGUUAAUAUGGUGGCUUUUCUGCAUAAUCGAUGGUUUCCUUUUCUUGGACCGCGCAAAGAGCGGCUGCACAGUUACCAGGCUCAUCUUUUUACCUAAACAGCCUGACAAUGUGCGAGGAUGUUCUGUCACAUCACGCAUUAAUGUGGUGAUAUGCUUUUUUCAAAGAGGAGUGGGGCUGUUACAGGAACGAAUAUGACAUACUUGUUGACUGCACCGACCACCAAGCAUGACAUGUGUGGGGACUGGUCGACCAGUCUAUUCCUUCGACAUUUCGAUUGACUGUACCGACCACCGAGCACGACAUGCUCGGAGACUGGUUGACCAGUCUGCUAAUUUGAUAUCCCGAUUGAUUGUACCGACCACCAAGCGUGAUACACUCGUGGACUGGCCGAUUAGCGCAGUCGUUUGAAAAUCUGGGGAUGGUACCGAGCACGUUUACGUUCCCAACCAUGCUUGAGGACUGGUCGAUCAGUCUCUAUGCUGUGCUCGGGGACUGUGCUGACUACCGAUCGUGCUCGGAGACUCAUCAAUCACUCCCUGUGCUGUGCUCGGGACUUGCUUCGAUCACUCUUCGACCACAGCUUGGGGACUGCUUUUCUCAAUUACAUAUGAGUUCGACGGGAUAAUUUUAAUUUUUUAGACCUUGCUACAAGGUUCAAGCUUCGCCUUCCAGCAAGCUCGGGGACUACAUCGAUACGAUGCAUCUAGCGAUGCAUGUUAGGUGCCAGAAAUUUUAAGAUGGUCUUUCUCUCUUUAGACCCUGGCACCACGUGCCUACGUCACCUACUACCAGGCUUGGAGACUAAGUGGGCACACUUCACCUUGCGGUGAAUGUGCUUGCUUUUUGAAAGUCUAUACUUUUCAGAAAAGUAAAGUGGGCACACUUCAUCAGGAAAAAAAUAUUUUUUGAUUAAGAGCACCAUGCAUUCUUCGAACAACCUGCUUCUUCGAUGUCAAUGUUGAUCAACUGUCUUUUGAGUUGGUUAAAAUACCGUUGCAACUGUUUGGGCGACUUUCCUGCUUAUCGAAGACGUAAAGCUUCACUGGUCGAAGAAGCUCAAGACAGCGUGUUGCAUCACAAUACAUGGUGCUUGGGGACUAGCUGUGGGGGUAUAAACCCCUAUACCCUUACAGCUAGACUUGGGCCAGGAGGCUUGGCCCAUCACGAAGACAGUCCGAGGCUUGAUCCAACUGUUCGGAGUUUCGUGCAAGGAAACAAGACGUGGAGAUCAAGCCGAAUUCUAGUUGGUUAGAAUAGGAAUUGAUAUUGUACUAUCUAUGGCAAUUGUAACCGACUAGGAUUAGUUUCCAGAUCUGUAACCCUGCCCUCUGGACUAUAUAAAGAGAGGCAAGGGACCCCCCUUGGACAUCUCAUCUCAACUCAACACAGUCCGCAGCAAUACAAUGACGCAGGACGUAGGUAUUACGCCCACACGGCGGCCGAACCUGGAUAAAAACCUUGUCCGUGUCUUGCGUCACCAUCGAGUUCGUAGCUUGCGCACCGUCUACCGAUAAACUACUACCGUGGGUAUACCCCAAGGUAGACUGCCAACCAACUUUCGUCGACACAGUGUCGUAUCUCAGCCCCUGAUGUUGAUGGUUGGAGGGAGAUUAUGCCGCGCAGUGUGAAUCUGCAGGCAUGCCCGACUAGUUCAAGGCCUCAGGCUUGUCCAGUUCUGCUAGAGCUUGUUGGGCGCUGCUUUAACUGCCUUGGUAUCGACCAUGUUGCUGCAGCUUGCCGCAAUCGGUGCAGGUGCCUCCGGUGGGGACGAGGGUCACCUUGCACGUUGAUGCUGGCGUAAACGGGGAGCAUCACAUGGAUGACCUCUUCGCUGGUCCUCUGUUGGCCCCCGAUGCACCUCCUCCUCAGGCGUUGCAGCGGAUGUUGCGAUGGCACCAUGUUGGACGCCUCUAUUUGUGGUCAUUCCGAGAGACGUUGUUGGGGGCAACAGAAGCAAGAGCCGGCCCAGUGUAGGAGCCCGGUCAUCACUGCCAUCACGUCUUCUGCCUACCCUGAGCUCGACCCUUUGACGUUGUUACUAUGCCUAGUUAGAGAGCACGUUGGUCAGGACGUGGUGGAUGAUCCGAUACUGGUGGAGCUUGUUGCCUUACUCUUUGUUUUUCAAACAGCUAGAGCACCACUUCUUGGGCUGGCUGCCCCUAUGGAAAGUGAGCCCCUUGAAUUGCCAUCUAAGCCGGUGUGCCUGGAUGCUAGGCAUGCCAGUCGUGACGUGGUUGAGGAUCCGAUGGUGGUGGAGGUCGUUGCUUCGCUCCCUAUCAUCCAACCUGCUAAAGCACCGAUAAUAGGGCCACCAUCCCCCAUGCUUGCUGCUCCCGCUGUGCAUGAUGCCCUAGCAUCUCUGACUGUGGAUAGCUGUGCAUCACCACACAUGCAUGGGCAUGCAUUGGAUUCCUCUUGGGAUAAUGCCAUGGUGUCCUUCAUCAAUGCCUUCAAACUACCACUCAAACAGCCGCUUAUUAUGUCACCACCUAGGUUGCGCGUCGCCAAGGACCUGAGCUGUUGAUGAUGACGAUUUCAUCCCCAAGCGUAGCGCCCGUUUAGCUGCUAAGAGCAUGUUCCGAGCAUCGAAGCCGGAUGAUGAGGACAUCGCCACACUGGACAUGUUGGCACCAUCGUCUUUCUCAAGUUGCAAUUCAUCUCCAACUCACGUCACUCUCGAAUUCAGCAAACUACAUCGUCAGUGUUUCGAUCAUAACUUAUUCAUACGACAUCGAAAUAGGGUGAUCUUAGACUCAUUGGAAAGGGGACGACGAUGCUGUCAUUUUGGAUAUGAUCCCAGCUCCAGAUCAUCCGUAGAUUAAUCUGUGUGACCACGACAAGGUGCUACGUCACCUAUUUUGGGCCAACUUGGUGAAAGGUCCUAGUAUGGCUAGAGGGGGGUGAAUAGCCUAUUUAAAAAUUCUACAAACUCACUAGAGCAAGUGGUUAGUAAAUAAUAAAGCAAAGCUUUUUGCUCUAUCUCUAAUGGAGAGUUUGCAAGCCACCUAACCAAUAAUUCUAGUUGCUUAUAAUCACUAUGCACACAAGAACUAUGUCUCUACUUACACUAGAGAGAUAUCUAAAGUUUCUAUACAAGAAGUAAGCUACUCUAGUUUGCAAGAAAGUAAGAGAGAGUGUUUGGUCUUUAUACUGCUGCAUGGAGGGGAUGAACCAAUCACAAUAAUAUGAAGUCCGAUGACCGGGAGAAAUCCAAUGAACAAUCAUAAUGGAGACACACAAUUUUCUCCCGAGGUUCACGUGUUUGCCGGCACGCUACGUCCCCGUUGUGUCGACUAACACUUGGUGGUUCGGUGGCUAAGAGGUGUAGCACGAACCUCAUCCUCACUAGGACACCGCAAUAACCUACCCACAAGUUAGGCAUCUCAAUGACACGAGCACUUUACUAGAGUUACCUUUCGGCUCUCCGCCAGGGAAGGUACAAGACCCCUCACAAUCACCGGGAGAUGGCCACGAACAAUCACCAACUCGUGCCAUUGCUCCUCCACUGCUCCAAGACGUCUAGGUGGUAGUAACCACCAAUAGUAACAAGAACACCGCAGCCAAAUCGAUCCCCAAGUGCCACUAGAUGCAAUCACUCAAGCAAAUACACUUGGAAUCACUCCCAAUCUCACAAAGUUGAAUAAUCUAUGAAGGAGAUGAGUGGGAGCUGUUUGCUUAGGCUCAUAAGGAUGUCAAGUAUGCUAGAAUGCCAAGAGAGUGAGACCCAAGCUGGCCAACACGUAUUUAUAUGCCCCUCAAACAAAUAGAGCCGUUGGCUCCUUCACUGUGCAAAACACGGGGCCACCAGACGCACAACCAGUGACCACCGGACGCUCAACCUAUGCGUCCGGUGCUUGAAUAGAGUCAUGUGUCCAUGCUUGAACUACGCGCAUCGAUCUCUAACGGUCAAAUAUGAACCACCGGACGCGCUCAAGGUGCACACCGGCCACAUGCGCAGAGAGGUCUGGAGACGCGUGGGGUCACCGGACCCACACCACCGGACGUACUCCAGAGCGUCCGGUCCCUUACCCAGAGAGCUCUAAAAAGGCGUAGGGGCACCGGACGUGCACCACCAGACGCACCCUGAGCGUUCGGUGCCUCAUUCAAAGGCACUUGAAGAAAUCAGGCAACACCGGACACGCCAAUAGGAUUUAGCCCGUGUCCGGUGCCUAGCGUUCGGUGCCUAACCCUAACUGAGCCAGGCACUUGACAGCACACCGAACGCGUAGGCUCAUUGUCCGAUGCCUCUGCAGUCAGCGUCCGGUGAGUGUUUCUCAGCGAGAAACAUUCCCACGACUUCUCCAAACUCUCCACCAGCGCAGUAGAAAAUAUGCAUUACACCACAAUGUGCCAACACCACAUUGUGUAAACCAACAUGUGCACGUGUGUUAGCAUUUUCACAAUCAUUUUCUUCGAAGGUGUUAACUUAGCUCACUAGGUUCUAAAUGCAUGCAUAUGAACAAUGACACCUAGUGGCACUUGAUAACCGCUUAGCCAAAGAAUUCCUCUCUUUAUUGUACGGCUAUCUAUCCUAAAUGUGAUCAUACCCUCUAUGGUGUCUUGAUCACCAAAACCAAAACCCUAAACAAUACCUUUGCCUUGAUCUCCAUAGGGUUUUAUUUUUCUCUUUCUUCUUUUCCAAGUUGAGCACUUGAUCAUCUUGUGGUUAUCACCACCAUCAGCAUGAUUAUCACUUGCUCCAUCACUUGGAAUGUACCAACCUCAUUAAGUCUACACACACUUAGUAUAGAGGUUAGUACUAGGGUUUCAUCAAUUAUCCAAAACAAAACUAGGGCUUUCAAUCUCCCCCUUUUUGGUAAUUGAUGACAACCCUUUUUACAUUCAAUAAAUUUUUCUUGGAUUCAUGUUGCUUGCCCAAGCAUUUUACCAUGUGCAAAGGUUAUGGACAAGUUUCAUAAACCCAGUUUGUUAGCAAUUGCUCCCCCUACAUAUGUGCUAAGAGUUUGGAUUUCAAAGCUUGCACAUAUGCUUGAACAGGAAAUGUAGGAGUCAAUUUCUACCAAAUGAUGCUAAGGUGUAAAGAAUGGACCUUUGAAGCGUGAUACCAAUCGGAGUUGCCAGUAUACACCAUCCUUAGCACCAUUAGUAACUAGACAUUCACAAAACUAGAACACCCCAUGAGAUCAAAAUUAUAAAUAAUGUUCUAGUAGCACUUGUGAAACAAAUAAUAGUCUAGUUACAAUACCUAUGCAUGCUAGUUCUUCAUUUCAUCAAUCAAACCUACAACUAGCAUACAGCACAAAAGCAAGGCAUCAGAGAGAAAACUUCUAAAGCUAAUGCACAUGCAGGCAAACAUAUGUGAUGCACAUUCAAAUGCAACAUACAAGUUUAUGAGCUUGCUCCCCCUACUUGUGUGCUUCAAAAUUUUAAUUGAUCCCCUUCUUUUAACAUGUUACCCCCUAUCUUUAUACUUCUCCCCUUUUAGCAAAUCUUUGGGAAAAUCUCUCCCCCUUUGUCAUCAAGGACCACAAAACGUGAGCUCAAAUUUUAGAUAGGUAAUUGUGAAACCAUGUGAAGUGAGAUUAUUUUACCAAAUUGGUCCAAUCUAGAUUACUUGCCUAAGAUAAUUAACUCGGUUUGAUCCAAGGACAAGCUUCUUCACACCUCCAAAUAAGGGUUAUCUUGUACCAUAUUGAGUUAAACACUUAAAGCUCAUACUCUAGAUCAAACAUUGGGAUUGCAAGCCCACAAACAUGUCAUAUGCUACCACUAGAUCAAGUCAAGCAUAGAAGCAAUAGUGGUACCUGUUGAUAUUUGUUAACACCAUCAGGAAAUGAUCCGCAAGCGCACGGAUAUCGGUGAGCACUUCACCCGGGAGGUUAUCCAGAGUAUCGUAUUUAUAUUUUUACCACUGGGAGAAAGCGUGCAUCUGACUAACCAAAUCUAUUGCUACUACCCUUUAGGCUACAAAGAAUGUGACUCGAUGUGAGCAAUAUAUAGAGAAGACUACAACCAUAAUCUCGUUCUAACCUUGGUAAGGAUGAUCUACUGUUCUAUUAGGGAGCCUCACGGAAUCUAGACACCACAGAGGAUGUUCGACCCGCACCUAUAAACCCUAUCGAUCCAGCUAACGGGAUAUGGGCUACAAAGGUAACUCGGAAAUGUCACGUUUGUCGCUACUACCACGGUCCAGCUAGUCAGAAGAUAUCCGAGUAUCCUAGCCCAAACACCACGUUUACGCUAGAGAUGAUUACUCUAACCUCUAUGCGAAGAGAUCAAAGUAAACUCAUAAACCAAGGAACAAUAAAACAAGAACUUACUAGAAUUUAGAAGUUGAAAUACUGAAGAAUGCUAGGAGCAAGCAUCGGGUUAGGAGACUUGAUCCCGCAGGUACAACCUCGGAGUAGACACCGACAGGCCGGGCUUCCUCCGAUCUACUCCUACACUCUAUCUCUCUCAAUCUAGUAGAACUAGUCAACUCUCACAUUGGAUGCUAAGCCCUAAGUCUAUGUAGAGGAAAGGUUAUCCUUCGAGUGCACCUCUCAACUCUAUAAUGAACUUGUUCUCCUCUAGGGGCCAGGGGGUCUGCUUAUAUAGUCCCCUCAGGUGAACGUGGGCCGUCGGACCAAACCAACAUUGAUUGAACGGUUAUCCUUGAUCCUUUAGGUCGGUGGAGCAUAAUCCGUGAUUUUGAACGCGAUUGGGCACAACACCUGGGCGGGCGCCCAAGGUGGGAGGGCGGGCGCCCUGCCCCCGGGCCUGCUCGGCCUCCCGUUCGUUCUCGUGGCUUCUGGAGUCUUCUAGAUGAUAGAAAAUUGCGUGGCACGUGAAUAUCUCUAUGUAAUCCUGACAUGUGGGCCUUUCUUCCAUAUUUCCUGAUAACCAGCUGCAAAAAUAGAUAAACAACAAAAAACGUGAAAUUCUGUCAGAUCAAACCCUAAGUCUGGGUGUUGGUUGCAUUUGGAUCCUUUUCUUUAUUUAUUUGAUGAUUAUAUUUGGUACUUAAGGACCGUCAACAACUCCCCCAAGCUUACCUCUUGCUCGUCCCUGAGCAAGGAUGGACUCAAGAGUUUCUGCUGUGGUUUCAUGCCUUAAAAGUACACAUGCAUUCAAGCAAGAUCUCAUCUCUGAGUUAGAGUAAACUGUUAAGACUUAAAACUUACUCAUUUUACCUUUCACCAUGGGUCUUGCAACCAUCACUUGUGUCUUGAGCAGUUAAAAGAUAGAACGGUCAAGUCAAGCGCCAUGUCUCGUAUUCUUGAUCAGCUAUAGCUCUGGAGUUUUUGCAGAUUUUCAAAUAAAACUCAGAGAUUCCUUCUAUGACUCUCUCAAAUCUCUCUUUUGUAGUAUUUCUGGAUCCUUUCCAAGGCAGAAAUGGUAUAUGCCUUCUCUCAAAGUAUGUGGUAUUUGUGGUAUGAGGCAUAGUGAUAUUGCCUUCUCUCUCACCCUACUCUAAUAAGGUUUUGAUAUCUGGAGCUCAUAGGUGGGAGAUAGAUAAUACAUACUUACAAGACAUUUAUUGCAUAGUCAAACCGUGGAUCCAGAGAAACAAGUCAAUAAGUCAAAUCAAGAUGUGCAUGUGUGGCGAGUGAAUGGUGUAUGGUGAUGAUGGUGAUAACAAUGGUGAAAGUCUAAUUCUACUUUUGCUCUUUUGAGGGAAUACAUACCUUUCUUGCACUUUGAAGCUUUUUUGAGGAGAAUGAGAUGCUCUAUAUUUUCUUUUUCUUUUCUCUCAGGUGGGUAUCUUGUACCCCUAAUUCUACUGUCGGACACUUGUCCAUUUUUACCUCUUGUCUCACUUUUUCUUUUCUUCGAGGUUCCGAGCACUUGCCCGUUUUUAUUUCCUCGUAUUCUUUCUUUCUCUCUCUUUUUUUUCUUUUCUUCUUUUUUUUACUAGAGCACUCAUCUCCUGAAAUAAUAUAGCAAGUGGUAGUAACCAAGAUAACUCGAACAUUUAUUUCAUAGGGAAAAACAGAAAUAGGAGAAUGUUUUUGGCUAUUCUCUCCUGGAUUAGGAGUAGAAUACUUUUGGGUGGCUCUAGAGAUGGAAAUAAGUGGAUAUAUGUGGAUGCGUACUUCCGGAUUAGAAGUAGCAUGUAUGAGUGAACGUGCAAGUGAAUCUUGAUUUUAACCACAUGACAAGCUCCUAAGGGUCUACACAGCUUGACCACACUCAAUGCUCAUAAGCAGUAAAAACUAAAUGUGUGGCUCAAAGUCUAGCAAGCAUGUAUAUAUGGUUGUGGUAGGAAUUUAAACUCUCAUCAUACAGGAACUCAUCAUGUGUUAUUUUAAAGAUUUUCAAAGAUAAAAUUCUCCAGAAUUCUAGCAUCUCUAGGAACAGAUAAACAGCAGCUCAACCUUCCCAUAUCAUAUCCGUUAACAACUUAGACUUUAGAUCAAGUACUCUUCCCACAAGUUCAGGUUUAGAGCAGGUUUAAAUUAUAGCAGUUAUGCCUAAACAUGAGAGAGAUUUCAAUUUUGAGAACUAGUCAUGACAGAGCAACUAUUCAUCAUUUCAAUGUGAGAGCUUAUCAUGAGGGUUCAUAGCACACUUUAUUUAUUUAUUUAUUUAGCAAACUAAGCAAUCAACACAAAAUCUUUAUUUGGGUUUUUAUGAUUAUGUAUCUUUUUAUUAUUUGAGUAAAGUAUAAACGUGAGUAGAACACUUAGCUGGAUGAAUGGGGGUGCUCUCCCCCAAGAUGGAUUUUGACGUAAUUUCUUCGGAUGUAGCUAGCAGGUGAUGGAGGUGUAUUUGAAUGUCGGCAGCACCCUGACAGUGAUUAGGAUGUCCUCCGUCUGCUAGUCUUCUUUGAUCCUUGAAUUCCGUGGAGCUCAAAUAGACAACAAAGCUUUGUGGAACUGGUUAAGUGUUAGCAUAAAAUCUUUUAGCCUUUAACAUAUUGAGAUUCCUCCUAAUAAAUAUUACUUGGUAGGAUCAUAAAUUUAUUUUUAUAUAUUCAUUUUUAUAGGACAGGAAUGUAUUUAUUUUAUUUUUAUGCCACCACAGUGAAUGUACUUAUGGGUUUUAUGCCAUGAGCAUACUCACAUGGGGCUUAAUAUUUUUAACAUUUUUAUUUUCUUUUCAAGAUGAUAUGAACCUGAUUAACUAAGCAAACUAUUUUAAAUAGUUGAAAGGAAAAAGGAUAACUACCAAGUUUACCUCUUGGCAAGGCGUUUGGUGCUUUUAAGUCCUCCGAACGGGAUUCUCCAUUUUUCUCAGUCGUCCUAGGAUUCGCUGGAUGGCGUAGUCGUUGGUUCGGGCGGCGCCUCCUCUUCGUGUAUAACUAUCUUCUCUCUCCACACCUGACUCGGUGCUACGGUCUCCUCAGGACAGUUCUGUUCAAGCUGUAUGUCUUCAGACCUUACCACUUCUCCUUCGUAGUUUGCCCAUCCGUCCUUGAUGAUUUGCCUCCUCUUCUUAGAGGGGAAGUGCAUGUGGACUUCUCCGGUUCCAAUGUAGAUGAUUGCUCUAACGGUGUUGAGGAACGGUCUUCCAAGGAUGACGGGUGGAUUGUACUCAUCUUCUCCCAUGUUAAUGACCUGAAAAUCAUCUGGAGCUGAAUGUAUGUUGGUUGUAGGGGCAUGGUUCCAUGUAGGAGCUGAUAAGUGACUGUGGCCAUUAUGUUGGUGUCGUAGAGUGUCUUCUGAAAAGAGUAUCCCACUCGACGCUUGGAACACUAGGGUCAUCCUUCGUGUUCAUCCUUUAGGUGCAUCAUUUGAUUAGGUCUGGGCCUUGACAUCUACACUUCUUGAUACGGUGUCACCCAUGUUCUUCGUUUGCCUAGUAGUUUGAAGUGCAGCGUUGGCAAUAUUUUGCUCAGUGUGUUUGUGCUUGUAGAUCCAGGUCCUUCACUUGGAAGAAUCUAGGAGUUGUAAAACUCCUUUAGGUUUUGCUGGAAGUGUACCUACUCAUAAAGACAAGGCAGAGAUCAAGUGCAUGGGCCCUAUUGGUGAAAAACACCAACAGAACCAAAAGUGUAUUUGUUCUUCUCUAACCUUAAGCAUAGUGAGCAGGACAAAGUUGAUGGAUCAUGAGUGUAGCAUUUGAAACAUUUGUCAGAUCAGAUGGCUCAACCUAAUGGAAAGAUAAUCUAUCUAUAUUUAUGUUUUGUUUAUAUCUUCCAAAGAUUGAAUGUGCAACAUUUUAGCUUAUAUGAUUAGGAGUGCGAGAUCACGAAGGUAGUACUAAGAACAAAGAUUAAAGGACUAAACAUGUUGAAUUAAUUGGGUUGGUUAAUGUGGAGUUACAAAUCAUACAUGUUUGUCUCUUUAUUUUAUGUGAACGCCAGAACCGAGAAGCUUAUAAAAAGUGAUAGUUAAGUACCUUAAGAUGUUAUCUUACUUGAAGAGUGAUGGUACAGUAUCACCUUGUGGAAGCUUUCCUUAGCGGUUGUGCAUCAUGUUUGUGGCACCCUCCAUGGAUCAUCUCUUGCGAGCUAUGCCUUCCUUGUGUAAAUUGUUAACCUUCAUAUGUCUCUCUCUUUAUCUCCAAUGUGAGUUUAUCUCAGGACUUCCUAGGUCGAUAUUGAAAGUUUUCCUGCAGAGGUUAGUUCAACAAAAUAUCCAAUAUCUACUAUAGCAUACUAUCGGCUCAAAAAUCAACCUAGACACCAUGUCUAAUUUGAUUUAGGAGGGCAUUUUAACCUAAGCACCAUGCUUAAUUUAAAAUCCCUUGGAAGGAAGAUCAUUAUUCCUAAACUAAGCACCGUGCUUAAUUAAGUGAUAAAUUAAACUACUCCAAACCUAGACAUAUACUAAAGCAAACAAAGGUAGCAUGAGAGCAUUUAUAGAGAUCUACUUAAGUGGAGAUGAAGUAGUGUGAUUAGUAUUUAACAAAUUGAGCAUGUCUCAAAGGUAGGGACAACCAACAUAGCAACACGGAAAAGGAUGUUUUUAUGUAAAGUACUCCCCCAAGCUUGAAUUUUGCAAAAUUCAAGUUUGGAUGAAUUUAAUUCAAUGUUGUAUGAUGAUUGGUUGGACAUACCUUGUGCUUGUCAUUCAUCCGAUCUUCUUGCUCCAAUCCUAGAAAGGUUAGUGACAAGAAUACCCGAAGGAAAUUUUUUUUACAAUUAUCCUUAUAUGCUCAAUACACAAGGCAAUGCUGCAAAUAAUUAAAAGUUCAUGUUACGAUCUGAUAAGUGCUUGUUUUAGGACACUAAGCUUGUCCUUGGGAAACCACCAAUUUAUGUCGGCGAAGUGGUUUCCCCUCCAACGCUUAUCAAGAUCAACUCAACCAGAUCUGCAAUAUUUAUUAUAGACAUAUGCAUCGGCAACCGUCCUAUUAAAGUUUCUAUAGAUAGGAAGAAAGAGGGGGUUGGAGAUCUCAAAUGUGUUGAUGUUGGAGAGACCAAUAGAUUGGGAAGAUGUUGCAUAUGAGCAUGGAGUAAACGAAGUGGCUAUGAAAUAAAUUCCAUGCUCAUUAAUGUUAUCUUUGUCUCCAAUCUGAAUGUUCGGAGUUUCUCCUAGAUUGGUCUCGCCUAUGUCCUCUUCUGUAGUUGGAUGAAUCUCAUCUUAAAAGGGAGUUAGGAACUCACCAUUUGAAAUUAAGCUAAAGUCAGAAUCCAUUAAGGCUUCUUCCUUGUCCAUCCAUUCAAUGGUGAUAGCACAUGGAUUUUUAAUGCCCCCUAGCCAUUGAUGUUGCUCUUCUCGAUCCUCCUUAUGGUCUUGGUGACUCUUAUGCAUGGGAUAUCUAGAGAGGUUCAUAGGAUCAUCGGGAGGUUCAAGAGAAAGAGCAUAGUAGAAAUUAUUAAGCUCAAGGAUGGGUUUAAAGAUAGGUUCGAAUGAGUCAUCAAAACUAGGCGUAGAAGGGGAGAAGAUGAGAUUGUCUUCUAAAUGGCUUCACUCUCCUUCUAUUGCAUCACUUAAGAUGCCAUCCUUGAGUCUUUCUAGAUGUGCAUCAAAGGGAUUGGAUUUUAGAUGCUUUCUAAGAGAUCCCUUCUUAGGAAGGUUCAGACUAUAUGCACUCAAAGGUCUCUUAUGAAGCAGGAAGUUUAAGCUCAUCCCAAAAUGAAUUUCCAAAGGUAGAAUUUCUUAUUCUCUUAGAUUAUUUUAGAGCACUACAAGUUUGGGUUGGAUAGCCGAAUCAUGGGAUUGAAAUGUUUGGAAAUCGGCUAUUGGAACUUCCUUUUCUCGUCUGGGAGAUGAUUCCUUCUCUAUCUCUAGGUUUUUUUAUGAAGACUAGUGCAAGAAGGAUGUCCACGAAUGAAGACAUACCUUGCUUUACUAACAGAUAAAGAAAGAAAAACUCUACCAAAGGUUAUAUGAUUAAGACCAAUGUGAAAAUAUCGAGGAAAAACAUGGUCUUGUAGGUCUAGGUUUAAACCAGAAUUUAUAGAAAGAUUAACAGAUUCCCUAGGUGUAGCUAAAAGUUCAUUAUCUUCUUGAUUAAAAGAUAGGACCUCAGCUAUAGAAAAGGGUUGGUUUUGACCUAUUGCAAUCAACUCCAGACACAGAUCAUAAUUAGGGUCAAAGAAAGGACUUGUUGACUCCCAUGGUCUAUGGCUGGUCUCCGAAGGUGCAAAAAAUUUAAUAAUAGGUGUGGAAUUUGAGUUAUCCAAUAAGAUAAAAAGAUAAAAGAAUAAAAGAAUAAAAGUAUAAUUGUUGAUGCAAAACUGAUCUGCAAACACAAAGGGCUAAUACCCGAUUCAAACGUUAAGGCGUGCCAGCCGAUUUGACCUUGCUAUCGGCAAAGGUGAUAACUCGAAUACUUUAGUCCUGACAACAGCGAUGCGCCCGGAUGUCACGGCUAAGAGGUACUCACGCGGAACUCGAGAACACGCCGAGCUUAAGUCGACGAAUUCCUAAGAACUCGUAAUAAAAGGAAAAAAAAUAUGACGAAGUCGUCGAAAAGUAGAUGCUGGAAUAUGAGUAAAAACGUGUGUUUGAUUGAUUUUUUGAUAUAUUGAUUACAAGGUCCUAGGGUUUAUAUUUAUACCCUGCUCAAAGAGCUACAACCAGACACGAUUAGAAUUCGAAUUCCAAAUUACACGGAAUCCGUAUACAAAACGAUGCAAAUAACUAAGGAAAUAAUAAAACUAUCCUUCGUGACAAACCGAAACUCCUCCAGAUGACAACUGGCAGCUUCCGGACUCCUCCUUCGCGUCAUCGGCAAUCCCCUUGUCAUAGUCAUCGGCAGAUCUUUUUACCCAGCCAUCGGCACCAUAUUACUGCCUGUGGACUUAGUCACAUUCAACUUCUCCCUCAUCGGCAACCAUCCUCAUCAGCAACCCGCAUUGUACUGCCACCCUAUCCUGCCAUCCUGGACACGUGCCCAAAAACGGUGUCAACACAUGCCCCCCAGUUUCGGAGUAUAAAACUAUUAAUGCUCCGAAAUUCUCUGCAGUAGUGAUGCCUUCUCCGCAAUUAAUGCUCCUAAUCUGGUAACCGACAACCUCAAUCUGGACAACUCUGAUCCUAAUCCUCCGCAGAUUCCUCGAAAUUCCCAACUUCCUAAACGGGCAUCUUUCUUGGUCGUACAUCGGCAACAAUUCCGUUAUAAAGAUCUGCCGAUGCUCUGACCAGGAUAUUCGCAAAAAACGGUUACCCCCCGUUUAUCCGCCCAUCGGCAAGAUGACCGUUAUAGAAUAUCGCCGAUGGACCGACCAGGAGAUCGCACACAGUAAAAUAUCUUUAGAUAAUGACCGCUUCCUGUCAAAUCACCUGCACAAUCCCUGGAUUACCGUGCGAACAGUUACCAUAUCCACCUGAGUACCCUCGGGCUUCUCGGAUGCGGCAAAGAGAUAAGACGGAUUUGCCCUUGCCCAUCUUGUCCUAUAAAUAGUUCCUUCUUGGGUACUCCUCCCCCAUUACACCAUUCUACUAUCCAACUUUGCUUUUCCAGCGGCGGUGCCAUCUACAACCCUCAAGACCUCCGACAAGCACUCUUCUUCAUCAACACCGGUGCCCUCCAACGUCCUCUUCAUGACAAGAUGGCCAUUGGCUUCGUCGUCCCUGAGGUCAAACUUCCAUCUCAUCUGCUGUACCUUUUUCUCGCAUUCCUGUUCAUCUGCGAUUCAUCUUACCGAAUAUUUUCCUUUCCCUUUUUCUUUGUAUUUUUAUUCUCCAAAACACUAGGAGUUGUCCAACAAAAUUGUCAUCCCUACCGAUCAACCACACCUUCAGUGCCUCGGCCCUCUAGGGGAUCCAGAUCCAACCGACCUUAUCAAUGCAGAAACCAACAGGAUUCCCUUUAGAGCUGAAAACUUUUCUUUAGAUCUGUGGAAAGACACCUUUCGUUCUUGGCCCAGCCCUACUGUAGGGUGGAAAGAUUGGUUUUUAAGGGUCAGCAAUUCUUAUGAAGUUCAAUGGGGUGAGAGGAAGCUAGCUCAAUGCAUGAGGCUAUCCAUUGCCGAUAUGCAUAGGAACGAGUCAUUGCUGAUAGCUGCAUCCUACUUUUGGUCAGACACCCUCAAUGCUUUUGUUUUUGGCCACGGCCCUGCUUCUCCUACCCUUGCCGAUGUAGCCAUGCUUACUGGGCUAGAUAUAUCUUCUGCCGAUAGCACCCACUUUUUUGAUACCGCCCCCAGUGCCAAAGUGGAGACUCGCGCUAUCGGCGGUUGGUCAGGGUACAUCUAGAAGUACCGCGGGAGAGGGCCUGUCACCACAAAGGAGCAAACCACCUUUCUGAACAUGUGGCUGGACAAGUUUGUAUUCUGUGGUCGAUCGGCAGGACCGACUUCUGUCUAUCUAUCGGCAGCAGAAAGACUGGCUAGCGGCGGCCAAUUUCCUCUCGGCUGAUAUUUGCUCGGCGCUGUUUACCACCUUCUUCAUCAGGUAGCCCAGAAACUCCUGCUUGGCCAAUCCAUCGGCAACUUGGGAGGCCCCUGGUGGUUUAUUAAUAUGUGGCUCAAUCUGCACCUGCAUAAGCGCCUUGAUUUCAACUUGUUCUCACAGCACUUCCCAAGAGAUAUAGCCGAGAAUCAUGUGUUAGGUGAAGAGGAAUCGGCAACGCGUGCCCCCUUGAACUUUGGUGAAGCCGUUAUAGUUUUACCCGGUUCAGGGAACAAUCCGGAUCAGAUCGGCCGAUUCUUCGAGACUCUGUAUGAGGGUCUGGCCAGAGAUGAACGACCAUGGCUGGCUUAUGACGACCCAGACAGCAUGCUCCCUCUGACCUUCAAUCCAUUUGAUGAAGCUCUUGACAGGGACAAUGAGGUGAUGAUGGCAAUCGUGACUCCCAGAGCCAUACCAGUGAAUUUCUUCGGUAGCACGAAAACCUCCCCCCAAACCUAUGAAUUUUAUAAUCCAUCGGCAUUAGCUCGCCAGCUAGCUUUUGGCCAAUUGCCGAUUGCACUUCCUUAUGCCGAUGUAAUAAAGCCCAGAGAGCCCAUCGCCAACCUCCUCGAGUGGACUCGAGUAGCCCAGCUACCACCAAAUGCCGAUACAGAUGUAGAUCUGUCAGAAUGGGUUCCAGCUGCCUUUAUCACUCAGGCAUACAAGCUAUGGUGGGCAGAAUGGAAAGACAAUCUAUUCUGCAGAUCGGCUCUCUCAUACCGUGGCAUGAUCGACCCCGAAUACGAAGUCCCUGAUGACACUGUAAGUAUUUUAAACCGAUGUCUCAUUUUCCAAUACUAUUCCCAUCGGUAACUUACCCCUGUAUUCCUUUUGCAGAUUGACAACACCCCCCCAUCGGUUAGCAGGAGUGGCAAGCCGAUCGACUUAUACCCAUCAGGCCCGAUCUCUUCAAUCGGCCAUAAUGCUCCCACUCUGGCUUCCAUCGUGCACCGGGGUGCGCGUCUCAAGAAAGUUACCACCAGGAAAACUCAGACAUCACCAACGGUAACUGCUUCCACUCUGGCGCAAGCUUUCAAGGCAAUCUGUUAAAACCUUUUUCAUUUAUGCUGACUAUCUUUGUAUCGGUUAUCUGUGCUCAUAAACUCCUUUUUGUUGUUGCAGCAAACUGGUGCAUCGGCAAAAGCCAAACGCCAAGGUGCCAAUGCCCCCUAGUCUAGCCAGCCAAAGAGGAAGGGCACCCAAGGUGCUAAGGCUGGAACAAAGCGCCAGAAAGUGACAACUCCUCCUCCUCCUCCGGUGUCUCCAAUCCCGGUGGAAUCUUCCCCUUCUCCUCCAGAAGUCCAGACACAGCAAGCACCAUCUCCCCAACCAAUACAGGAAGCACCACAGAUGGAAGAACCCCAGCAGGAAGAACCUCAAACGGCAGGUACAUCAGCUGACGUAGGUGAACAAACAACUGGCCCGGCAGGUCCAGUUAUAUCAUCGGCGGUUUCCCCGACUCAGGCAGCUGUUGUCUCUCCUCCGGGUAACAUAUCCCAACAAUACUUCCGCCGAUAAACUUAUUCUCAUUUAGUCUCAUAAUCCUUCCUGUCUUCUUUCAGGCGAUAUCGUUCCAUCGGCAACAUUUGCCGAUCAACCUGUAGCUCCAUCGGCAUCUUUGAGUCAAAGGCAAGAAAUCGCCUUGAAGCAAGUAAGUCAUCCAAUUUUCCACCAGUAUCGUCUGCCGAAGUUUUGACCAUAAAACUGACUUAUUUCAUCUUCAUUUUCAGGAACAAGAUUCUCCCAACAGCUUAUUCUCCUUCGCUAUUGAUAUCUUCGAAGAAGAAGGCGAGGAAGCAAGCUCCUCUCGGGCAGUUGGAACUGUAUCGGCAGAAACCAGAGCUAAGCUGGAAGAGCUAUCGGCCAUACUUCAUCAAGACACAACUCAACUGGUCAACGAUUCUGACCCAGCCAAAGCCCUGUUCAAGACCCUUAGAGGCCAAAUUCCUGCCGAUGCUGAAGAAACACUCUUCCAUGCUGCACACCUAGAAAGCCGCCAGCUACAGUACCAGAGAGCCACUCGACGCCUUGCCGAUAGAGCCGCUCAAAUCCAGCUUUCUGAGGAGAUGAUGAAAGAAAAGCUCUUAGCCGAUGAGAAACAUAAGAACAUCGGCACCUUAAAGUCCUCAGGUGAUGCACUGAAGCAGAAAGUGUCUGAUCUUUCGGCAAAAAGAGAAGCUCUACUGGCCGAACUCAAGCAAGUAGAGGACGCCCUGUCCCAAGCCCAUCAAGAAGAGAGUCAACUGCCGGAGACCAUCAAGCACCUUGAACAAGAACGAAACGUCCAUGGUCGCAAAGCGCUGCAGCUGAAGAGGAAGCUGAAGCCGAUAGAAGGUUCUGCCGAUGAUGAUAUCAAAGAGAUAGAGACAGCCAAUCAGAUUCGGCUGCGCGCCAUAUCAGCAAUCCAAGCGCUGCUGAACAUCUGAAGCUUUCACCGGCAACGCACCUUUGUUUUUCCGCUUUUAGCUUUUAGUCUAGCCGAUAAGACUGUUAUCGGCAUCUUUUGAAACAUUAAGUCUACCCUCGAACAUUUAAAUCCAGCCGAUAGGAGUGUUAUCGGCACUUAACUUUUAUGCGUCGACCCAUAUGCUGGGGUAGUACUUCUUUAAAUAUUUGCCAUUUAAUGCUCUGGGAAAUUCAACUCCCUCGAGAGUUUCUAGAAUAUAGGCAUUACCAGGAGCUGAGUGUCUUAUCCGAUAAGGACCUUCCCAAUUAGGAGACCACUUCCCAAACUUCGAACUUUUAGUCCCAACUGGCAAAAUCAACUUCCAUACCAAAUCCCCAUCGGCAAACUCCUUAGCCUUUACUUUUUUAUCAUACCAUCUAGCAACUCUCUUCUUAUUUUCUUCUAUACUCAUUAAAGCCUUUAACCGAUGUCCUGCUAAAUCAUCUAACUCAUCGGUCAUUAAAGUGGCAUAAUCAUCGGCAGCCAAUUGAUCUUGAAAAGAUAAUCGCCUAGAUCCAGCCUUAAUCUCCCAAGGCAACACUGCAUCAUGUCCAUACACCAAUUGAUAGGGUGCCACCUUGGUUGAUCCAUGACAAGCCAUCCGAUAAGACCACAGUGCUUCAUUUAACAAUGUAUGCCACCGCCUAGGAUUUUCUUCAAUCUUCCGUUUAAUAAGCUUGAUAAUCCCUUUGUUAGACGCUUCGGCCUGCCCGUUGGCUUGAGCAUAGUAAGGAGAAGAAUUCAACACUUUAAUUCCCAUACCGAUUGCGAAUUCAUCGAACUCCCCCGACGUGAACAUGGUGCCCUGAUCGGUAGUAAUCGUUUGGGGAAUCCCAAAUCGGUAAAUAAUAUGCUCCUUCACAAAAUCAAUCAUAUUGGCCGAUGUGACUUUCUUCAAAGGAAUAGCUUCGACCCACUUAGUGAAAUAGUCAGUGGCAACUAGAAUGAACUUAUGCCCUUUGCUAGAUGGUGGAUAAAUCUGGCCGAUCAGAUCGAUGGCCCACCCCCGGAACGGCCAAGGUUUUAUUAUAGGAUUCAUAGCCGAUGCGGGUGCUCUCUGGAUAUUACCGAACUUUUGACAACCUUGACAUCCCUUGAAAUAUUUAAAACAAUCUUCAAGUAUGGUUGGCCAAAAAUAUCCAUUCCUUCGAAUCAUCCACUUCAUCUUAAAAGCUGACUGAUGCGCUCCACACACUCCUUCAUGGAUUUCCCCCAUCAAACUUCUGGCUUCAUCAUCACCCAAGCAUCGGAGAAGAAUUCCGUCGAUAGUUCGAUAAUACAAUUCAUUUUCAAGGAGCACAUACUUGGUCGCUUGAAAUCGAACCCGUCUUUCAACUUUUUUGGAUGGAUCUUCUAGAUAGUCGAUAAUUUCUUUCCUCCAAUCACCGGCACUGACUGCCGAUGUCGCAUUAAUCAUUGGCUGAUAUCCUGAGGCAUGCUGGGCUAACCGAUUAGCGUCUUCAUUAUGCAAUCGGGGAACAUGCUCCAAUCGGAAGUUCUUGAAUUCCUUUAACAGUUGCGUACUUCUCUCGAAAUAGGUUAUGAGAACUUCACUUCGGCAUUCAUAGCUUCCGGCCAAUUGAUUUAUAACCAACAUGGAAUCCCCGAAUAUUUCAACAGCAUCAGCACGAACUUCUCUUAACAACUCCAAUCCCUUGAUCAGAGCUUGAUACUCAGCCUGAUUAUUUGUUGAUGUAGCAACAAUCGGCAAGGAAAACUCAUACUUCCUCCCCUUGGGAGAAACCAAUACAAUGCCGAUUCCUGCCCCCCGGUCACAGGUAGAUCCAUCAAAGAAGAGCGUCCAGGGUGCAAUUUCCAAGGUUUCCACUAGACCGCAAUGCUGAGUCACAAAAUCGGCCAUGAUCUGCCCUUUGACUGCCUUAGCCGAUUCGUAACGCAAAUCGAACUCCGACAGCGCUAAAAUCCAUUUACCGAUCCUACCAUUCAUAAUCGGCAUAGAUAGCAUGUAUCGGACCACAUCAUCUUUGCAAACAACAGCACAUUCAGCCGACAACAGGUAAUGUCUCAGCUUGAUACAUGAAAAAUAUAAGCAUAAGCACAGUUUCUCAAUGGCCGAAUACCUGGUUUCAGCAUCAAUCAACCUCCUACUCAAAUAAUAAAUUACUCUCUCUUUCCCUUAAAAUUCUUGAACUAAAGCUGAACCGAUAACCGAUCCAUCGGUAGAUAAAUAUAAUUUGAAGGGUUUCCCUUGUUGAGGUGGAACUAAAACUGGAGGAUUUACUAGAUACUUUUUGAUUUCAUCCAGAGCCAACUGCUUUUCUUCUCCCCAAACAAACUCCUGAUCGGCUUUCAAUUUAAGAAGAGGACUGAAAGCACGAAUUCUCCCAGAUAAAUUCGAUAUAAAUCUUCUGAUAAAAUUCACCUUGCCGAUCAAGGAUUGGAGCUCAGUUUUAUUGGUAGGGGCCACUAUUUUAUUGAUGGCAUCAAUAGAUCUUCGACUAAUUUCAAUACCCCUCUGAUGUACCAUGAAACCAAGAAACUGCCCUGCCGAUACGCCAAAUGCACAUUUGUUGGGAUUCAUCUUUAAUCCAUGCUUCCUUGUGCAUUCCAACACUUUUCGUAAAUCGGCAAGAUGCUUUGAGAAAUCUCCAGACUUAACCACCACAUCAUCGAUAUAAAUUUCUACGAACUUGCCGAUGAACUCAUGAAAUAUAAAAUUCAUGGCCCUUUGAUAAGUAGCACCAGCAUUCUUUAACCCAAAAGUCAAGACUAUCCAUUCAAAUAGUCCAACAUGACCAGGACACCUGAAUGCGGUUUUUGGAAUAUCUUCCUCUGCCAUGAAUAUUUGAUUGUAACCCGCAUUACCAUCCAUAAAGCUGAUAACCCGAUGGCCGGCCGCAGCAUCAACCAGUAGAUCGGCGACAGGCAUUGGGUAUCCAUCCAUCGGUAUAGCUUUAUUGAGAUUCCUGAAAUCAAUGCACACCCGAAGUUUCCCGUUCUUCUUGUAAACCGGAACAACAUUGGAAAUCCAUUCGGCAUACCGACACUGCCGAAUAAACUUAGCUUCAAUAAGUUUAGUGAUUUCGGCCUUAAUAUCAGGUAGAAUGUUAGGAUUACAUCGGCGGGCUGGUUGCUGAUGUGGCCGAAAUCUAGACUUGAUGGGUAACCGAUGUUCGACAAUUGAUCAGUCUAAACCAGGCAUCUCUGUAUAAUCCCAAGCAAAGCAAUCUUUAUAUUCCUUUAACAAACUAGUCAAUUGUCACUUACACUCAUGAUCUAAUUUAGCACUAAUAAAAGUAGGCCUAGGCUUAUCACCACUACCUAUAUCUACUUCUACCAAAUCAUCGGCCGAUGUGAACCCCUGGCCUAAUUUUCCAUCAUCGGCGAAUCUAUCCAUUAAAAACCGUCGUCAGAACCGACUGCUUGGAUCGGUGGAAUCUCAUAAUCGGCAACUUUGAGAAAAUCUUUCUCCCAAACUUCUCCUGAAAUGCACCUAGUCCUUUCAUAAGUAUCCGCUUCUGCCGAUGCGAUAACAUAGGAAGAAUCCCCUGGGACGAUCUCAAUCUUGUCACCUACCCACUGAACCAAGCACUGAUGCAUUGUAGAUGGGACACAACAAUUGGCAUGAAUCCAAUCUCUCCCCAAUAAUAAAUUGUAGGCACCUUUUCCGCUGAUCACGAAAAAAGUUGUCGGCAAGGUUUUGCUGCCGAUGGUCAACUCCGCACAUAUCGCCCCCUUGACUGGAGACACGUUUCCCUCGAAGUCUUUGAGCAUCAUAUCGGUCUUGGUCAAAUCUUGAUCCCCUUUCCCAAGCUUCCGAUAUACUGCAUACGGCAUAAUAUUAAUAGCAGCUCCACCAUCAACUAGGAUCUUAGUCAUUGGCUGCCCAUCAACCCUCCCUUUGAGGAACAAAGCUUUAAGAUGCUGCCUCUCGUCAUCGGCAGGUUUCUCAAAGAUAGCCGUCAUCGGAUCCAGAGCUGUCGACGAAAGCUAGUCGGCAGUCUACCUUGGGGUAUACCCACGGUAGUAGUUUAUCGGUAGACGGUGCGCAAACUACGAACUCGAUGGUGACGCAAGACACGGACAAGCUUUUUAUCCAGGUUCGGCCGCCGAGUUGGCGUAAUACCUACGUCCUGCGUCUGGUUGUAUUGGAUUGUGUUGAGAGAUAAUCUACCCUAGGGGGUCCCCUUGCCCCUCCUUAUAUAGUCUGGAGGGCAGGGUUACAGAUCUAGAACUAAUCCUAGCCGGUUACAAUUGCCAUAGAUAAUUCGAUAUCAAUUCCUAUUCUAACCGACUAGAAUCCGGCUUGAUCUCCACGUCCUGUUUCCUUACGCGAAACUCCAGGUUGUCGGAUCAAGCCUUGAACUCGUCUCGUGAUGGGCCAAGCCUCCUGGCCGAAGUCUAGCCGUAAGGGUAUAGGGGUUUAUACCCCCACAGCUAGUCCCCGAGCACCAUGUAUUGUGAUGUAACACGUCGUCUUGAGCUUCUUCGAUCAGUGAGACUUGACGUCUUCAAUAAGUGGGAAAGUCGUCCAAACAGUUGCAACGGUUCUUUGACCAACUCAAAAGACAGUUGAUCAACAUUGACAUCGAAGAAGCGAGUUGUUCGAAGAAUGCGUGGUGCUCUAAAUUAAAAAAGAUUUCUUUCCUGAUGAAGUGUGCCCACUUUACUUUUUCGAAAAGUAUAAACAUCAAAAAAGCAAGCAUAUUCACCGCAAGGUGAAGUGUGCCCACUUAGUCCCCGAGCCUGGUAGCAGGUGACGUAGACACGUGGUGCCAGGGUCAAAAGAAAAGUCCCCAAAGUAGUUUUUGAGACUGAGAUGCAUCGCUAGAUGCAUCGUACCGAUGUAGUCCCCGAGCUUGCUGGAAGGCGAAGUAUGAGCCUUGUAGCAAGGUCUAAAAAAUUGAAUUUACCAGUCCCCGAGCAUGUCAUGCUCGUCUGCAAUCGAAAAGACCAAUCGACCAGUCCCCAAGCACUUAGUGUGUUGCCUGGAAUUACGCGUUACUUAUACUGUACGACCAGUCCCCGAGCAUCGAGUGCUCAGUGGUCGGUGCAUGCUUUAAAGCUUUGAGCUGAUAGACUGAGCGACCAGUCCCCGAGCGUCGAGUGCUCGGUGGUCGGUGAAGUCUUUGAAGUUCCGAGCUGAUAAACUGGGCGACCAGUCCCCGAGCGUCAAGUGCUCGGUGGUCGGUGCAGUCCCCGGAUUUCCGAGCUGAUAAACUGGGCGACCAGUCCCCGAGCGUCAAGUGCUCGGUGGUCGGUGCAGUCCCCGGAUUUCCGAGCUGAUAAACUGGGCGACCAGUCCCCGAGCGUCAAGUGCUCGGUGGUCGGUGCAGUCCCCGGAUUGCUGACUCACUGGCGUAUGUGUCUUCUUACUUUUGAAAAGGUCUUUCAAAUUUAAAGUUGACGUGACGGGGUCUGCUGACGAUAUGUCAGACGGAUGCACGAAAAGCCGUGCCUGGCAACUGUACAACCGCUCUUUGCGUGGUUUGAGAAAAGGAAACCAUCAAUUGGUACGAAAACUCCGCCGCAUUAAUUGUCUAUAAUCAUUGUAAACCGAAACGCCGCAUCCGCCGCAUGGCCUGCCCACUUCCCGAGAUUACAGGAAGUGGGAGAGGUGGGGUCGCUGGUUUAUAAGGGCCUAAUAGGACCGCCUGUACCGCUUCUCCGGCCAUUGCCUUCAAACCUUCCGUUCUCAUCUUCUCCAAUCACCUGCAUCUUCCUAACUCCGGCCCACAUUCGCACCUCUAAUGGCGAAGAGCGACUCCAGGAAGAGGGCCGACCUGAUGGCCAAGGAAUGGAAGAAGUCUCGCAGCACCAAAAAAUCUCUUGGUGACCUCGUCGAUAUGGGGCUGCUGCACGACGCAGAGCUCGGCGGCUGGAGGGCGCCAGAGGGGGAGAGCUACCCCGAUCCUCGCGCCGGUGAGGUCGUCGUUUUUGAAGACUUCGUUAAGAGAGGUUUUGGUGUUCCAGUCCAUCCUUUUCUUCAAGGUCUUCUUUUGUACUAUGAGAUCGGGAUUUGCAAUCUGCACCCGAACUCAAUUCUCCUUAUUUCCACCUUCAUCCAUCUGUGCGAGGCCUAUGUUGGCAUAGAGCCGCACUUUGAUCUUUUCCGGUAUCUUUUCUGUCUGAGGAAGAAGGGAGCAGUUGGAGGCUCCAAGGUUGCAGGUGGAGUAUACCUCAACCUCCGUGAUGGGAUGAAGAAUCGCUACCUGCACUGCCCAUGGAACACCUCCUUGACCGAAUGGUACAGGAAGUGGUUCUACGUCAGGGAGGAACCGGGCAGCUCCACGUUCUGCAACGUGGGGUACGUUCCCGAGAAGAGGGCGAGCUGGACUGACCGCCCAGAGUUCGACGGUCAAGUGGCGGUUCUGAUGAAGCUGAUCGACUGGUCACGCCUGGAUGGGCUCAGCGUGGUCGGCAACUUCAUUUGCCGCCGGGUGAUGCCCUGCCAGAAGAGGGUGCACUCGGCGUAUGAGUAUGCCGGAAGCACUGACCCGACCAGGAUGCGGUCGGAGAUCCUGGAGAAGGCGGAGGUACAACAGCUGCUAAACGAGCUGUUUAACUUCGCGGAUGGGGGCUUCACCCGUAGCAGUGAUCGGGUGCAAGCCUUCAAGUUAGGACGACCAGCACCAAAGGUAUGUAGCAGACUUCGUUUGAUCGUUCGUAUGUCGCCUGUAGUUGGCUCAUCUCUGUUACCUUUGCAGGUCGGUGAUGUCGACCGGUGCGUAGUGUACGUAUCGCUGGCACCGGGGAUGGAAGAUCCUGUGCGAGAGGUCCCGCCGGAGGAAAGCAGAGCCCGCCCCGUCCCGACCUCCGAGGAGAGGGUGGCGGGGAAAAGGCCAUUGCUGGUGGAUCCCCUGCCGACGCCGGAGCUGCCGGCAGACCUACCGGCGGAGAGCAGCCAAGCGCCGAAGCGUCGUCGGCUCGUGCGGAUCGUCGACGACGACGACGACGACGAGGAGGCUGCGCCGUCGUUGGUCCGACGGCCUCGGGGCCGCCCAGACGCUGCACCAGUCGCCACUGAUCGAGUGGCCAGCGGCGCGGCUGCCCCGCAAGUUGCCGAGGUGGGGGCACAGGCGCCGACCGGCCGGGCGAGGAGGAGGUUCACCGCGACCCAUCGCCGGUCAGACCUGUAAGUGUUCAACUUACGUACUUUGGACUCCCCCUUUCUUUUUUUUUUUUUAAACUUUUGUUCCUGUAGUGCGGCAUCGGAUGUCGACCCUGGCCAAACUGCCGGCCAGGGGACGGGCGAGCCUGCCCGCGGUUCUGGGGAUGCGGCCCCCCAGACCACAGAACAGCCGACUGCUGCAGUCGCCCCUGGGAGCACCGAGGAGCUCCCGGGCGCGGCGCCGACUACAGCAAGCAGCCCGACCAGGGCUGGGGAGGCUCCCCCAACUGACUCUUCGGGGAGGGGAAAGUCUCCGACCGCUCCUCCUGCCGGGGGGAGUGAAGUCCCCCCGCCGCCCCGAGCAGAAGCCUCUCCUGCUGCGGGCUCCCCAGGUCCGGUCCAAGGGACGUUGACGCCUGGGACCGCCACCGGGGGUGACGCAGCCCAGGAGGAGGAAACCAGGGCGGCCUCCGACGACGAGGUAGAAGAGAUCGAGGGUCGUCCCCGUGAUGGCCGCCAACACGUGUAUGUGUGGCGCCAACGCGGGGACCACUUUAUCGGUCACGAGGAGCUUGCCGAGUCCGAGGAGGCCGCCAGGGUGGAGCGCGCGGCUAAGCGCCUUGUCGACGAAGUCAAGGUAAGCGUCGUUUUGAGCUGCCGCGCAUUCUUUUGCCUUGUCUUCUGUGCAUUGUUAUAUGCUUGCUUUGUAGGACGUUAUGAAAACGGCGAAGUACCGGAAACGGUGCUUUGACCAGAUAGAAGGCGUCAUGGCCGAGAACAAGGCCCUUGCCGCGGAGGUAGACCGGUUGCGGGCGGAGGUCGGAGAGAAGGUGGUCGAGAUGAGCACCGAGAAGGAGCGUCGUCUCGACCUCGCUCGUCGCCUGGCCGACCAGUACCGGCUGCAGGAACGUUAGUCUCACGCUCCGAGCAGUUUCGCAGACUUGUAUAGUUUGCUUCGCUGACCAGUUUAGGAUUCACGCAGACUUGGAGGAGGAGGUGGCGAGCCUCCAACAAGAGAAGGAGCAGCUCGGCCAGCAGCUCGCCAGUGCGCAGGAGUCCGGACGGCGAGCGGAAGAGGAAUUAAGUCGUAAGGACCGGGAGUUAGCUGGUAAUGGGUGCCGCCUUGUUGGUUGCUACCUGCCCCUUUGCUUGUCUGAUAUGCCGAAAGUAACGUUUCGUUUCGUUUGCAGUGCUCAAGGCGAACACCAAGAAGCACCUGGAUGAGCUGGUCAAGGACCGGGACUCCUGGAAGGUCAACUGUUGCAGGAUCUGGAAGGGAGUGUCCCCGGUCCUGGACCUGAUCAGUCCCGAGCUCCCGGAGAGCCAGCCCCGCGCGCCGCAGUUGACCCCGGUUCAAAAGGCGCAACGGGCGUGGGACUGGCUCCAGCAGUUUGUGAAGGACGCCGGGGAGUUUGCCGGCGCGCACGUCCUUAGCAUGGUACGCGCCCACUACCCCCUUGUCGACUUGAGCAGGCUGGAGAAGGGGUACCCGAAGGAAGUCGGCCCACAGGAAGCGGACGAACUUCGGGGUAGUCUGCUGGACUUGUCGUCGACAGUGAUCGGCGACAUUAACCUGUGCGGAACGGCCACUCCUCCAGACCAGCCGGGCUCAGAUAGGUCGGCCAGGGAGUUGUCGGGCGCGUCCUUUGCUGGAGAUGGGCGGUCGACGCCUGCGGUCUCGACCAGCCAGGCGCCGGUGGCCCCAACCCCUUCGUCCGGGCAGCAGGGCCAGGCGGGUGAUCAGCCCGAGCAGCUAGGCCAAUAAAGUAGUCUGUAGGAAUAGACUAGUAUCUGCCCGUCAGGGUAUUUAUUGUAAACUUUGUAUGUAAAGUUUGUAAUAAAGUUUUCUUUUUGUCAUGACUGUUGUUUUGAGCGCUGUAAAAAUAUCUGAGUGACGUGUCACCGUAUUUGUCUUGGUUGUCGCCAAGAGCAUCCAUUGCGGGAGUUUUGCCGAGUGCUGUGUAUGACAAGGUAUAGGCAAAAAAUAGAGAAUUAUAUUGUCACAAAUUAUAAGACACUUACAAAAGAAAGUCGCUAAAACUUUAUGGAUAGAAACGUCGCAAUUUGUCGAUGUGCCAAGAGUUAGGCACUCGUGUUCCGUCUGGGUAUGCCAAUCUGUAGGACGUAGGUCGUGUGACCUCGGUCACCACAAAGGGUCCUUCCCAGGGAGUAGAUAACUUGUGCAUUCCCUCCUGGCUUGUUUUCCAUCGAAGCACCAGAUCGCCGACCACGAAGGAACGGUCCUUGACGUUCCUGUUGUAGUAUCGCCUGAUUGACGCGAGAUAUUUUGCUGUUCGGAGACAUGAAACUAAACGCUUUUCCUCCAUGCAAUUGAUUUCGAGUUCUCUGGCGUUGUCGGCGGUCGACUGGUCGAAGUGCUCAAUUCUAGGGGAUCCGAAAUGUAUGUCGGACGGCAGAACCGCCUCUGCGCCGUACACCAUGAAAUAGGGAGACACCCCCGUGUUUCGACUGGUCUGAGUUCGGAGGCCCCAGACCACUGCCGGCAAUUCUUUCAUCCAUCGACCGGGUGCUCUGUCGUUCUCGGCGUACAAUCUUUUCUUUAGGGCGUCGACGAUCAUUCCAUUAGCACGUUCGACCUGACCGUUGGCACGUGGGUGUGCCACUGACACAUAUUUUAUGACUAUGCCUCUGUCAUCGCAGAAAUCCCAAAAGGUGGUGCCAGUAAACUGAGUGCCCAGGUCGGUGAUUAUGCUGUUCGGGAUGCCGAAUCUGUGUAUGAUUUGAUUGAGGAACUCCACAGCCUUCUCGGAAGUUGCCUUGACCAGGGGCAUGUAUUCAAUCCACUUGGAGAACUUGUCGAUUAACACGAAGACAAACUUGAAGUUGCCCGGGGCUGGUUUAAAUGGUCCGAUCAUGUCAAGCCCCCAGCAGGCAAAGGGCCAAGACGACGGGAUGGUUUGAAUUUCAUGGGCAGGUACGUGGGUCCUCUUAGCGAAAAACUGACAUCCUUCGCAACGCCGAACCAGUUUUUCUGCAUCGCUGACCGUGGUCGGCCAGUAAAAACCUGCUCGGAAAGCCUUUCCGACCAGGGUUCUAGAUGCGGCGUGGUUGCCGCAGGAUCCGGCGUGUAUGUCCUCCAAGAGCUUGAUGCCAUCGUCUUGGGGUAUGCACUUGAGCAGUACCUCGGAGCUUGCGUUUUUCCGCAUGAGUUUUCCGUCGACCAGGAUGUAGUUCUUUGACCGUCGGAUGAGACGCUCGUUCUCUGUUUUGUCCUGAAAACCUGUCCCGUCUGAGAUGUAUUUGAUGAACGGGACACGCCAGUCGCGCCCGCUGGUUGUCGGAGUGGCGUCAUCUAUGAGCAUUGCCUCGUUGGGUUGCUUGUCGACCAGGGGGGAGCUUACGCUCGGCUCAUGGAUGUCCUGGACGAAAAUACCGCGCGGGAUUUGGGCCCGGGACGAGCCUAACUUUGACAACGCAUCUGCUGCUUGGUUCUUAUCCCGGACCACGUGGAUGUACUCUAUGCCAUAGAAGUUAGUUUCCCAUUUGCGAAUUUCUUUGCAAUAGAGAUCCAUCUUCUCGUGGGUUGCGUCCCACUCCUUGUUGAGCUGGUUGAUGACCAAAGCGGAGUCCCCGUAGACAUAGAGGCGCUUAACCCCCAGCUCAACGGCUAGUCGUACGCCAUGUAAGCAAGCUUCGUAUUCGGCGACAUUGUUUGACGCCGGGAAAAGGAUCCGAAGGACGUAGCGGAGUUUGUCCUUGUUUGGUGAUACGAACAAUAUCCCAGCGCCUGCACCGUUGAUGUUUAAGGACCCAUCAAAGAACAUUGACCAGUGGUCUGAGACAUCGGGAACGGAUGGUUCGUUGAGAUCCGUCCAUUCGGCAAUGAAAUCGACCAGGGCUUGGGACUUGACAGUGGUGCGACUCUGAAACUCCAGGGAAAAUGGACAUAAUUCCAUUGCCCAUUUCACGAUUCUGCCAUUGGCGUCUUUAUUGCGCAGGAUGUCACCGAGGGGAAAGCUGGUUGUCACCAGGACUCGAUGGCCGUCGAAGUAGUGCUUCAGUUUUCUUGACGUUAUCAGGAUGGCGUAUAUAAGCUUCUGUAUUUGUGGGUACCUGGCCUUGGAUUCGUUUAAAACUUCGCUUAUGAAGUAAACGGGCCUCUGGACCUUGAAGACGUGACCUGGUUCAUCUCGCUCGACCACUAUUGCCGUGGAAACAACUCUGUCGGUUGCAGCAAUGUAAAGGAGCAGGUCUUCGUUGGGCUGAGGCGCUGUGAGAACAGGCGGUGAAGUGAGGAAGGUCUUAAGCUGAGUGAACGCAGCGUCGGCGUCUUCUGUCCAGGAGAAUUUUUCUGACGCUUUCAAUAGUUUGAAAAAGGGGAGGCCUUUUUCUCCCAGCCUUGAGAUGAAACGACUGAGGGCGGCCAUGCAUCCGGUUAGCUUCUGGAUAUCCUUGACGUUCUUCGGUGGUCGCAUGUCGAGUACGGCUUUGACUUUUGAAGGGUUUGGCCGUAUGCCGUCGCAGCUGACGACGUUGCCGAGCAGUAGACCGGAAGGAACGCCGAAAAUGCAUUUCUUGGGGUUGAGCUUCCACUUGUACCUAUUGAGUGCCUUGAAGGUUCGGUCUAAGUUGUCGAUUAGGGUGGUCGCAUCCCUUGUUUUUACGACCACGUCGUCCACAUAGGCCUCGACGAGGUCGUCGCGAAUCUCGUCGUGGAGGCAUUGCUGGAUGGCCCUUUGAUAAGUGGCCCCGGCGUUUUUAAGUCCGAAAGACAUGGUAGUGUAACAGUAUGCGCCGAAAGGUGUGAUGAAGGAUGUUUUGAUCUGAUCUUCUUCUUUUAACGAGAUCUGGUGAUAACCAGAGUAGCAAUCUAGAAAGGAGAGGAGUUCGCAUCCGGCCGUUGAGUCGACCACCUCGUCGAUGCGAGGAAGACCAAAAGGAUCUUUAGGACAGUGUUUGUUGAGAUCGGUGUAAUCAACGCACAUUCUCCAUUCAUUAUUCUUUUUGUGUACAAGAACCGGAUUGGCGAGCCAAUCGGGAUGAUACACCUCUUUUAUGAAUCCGGCUGCUAGAAGCCGUGUUAUUUCUGUCCUAAUAGCCUCCUUUUUGUCACGAGCGAACCGUCGCAGUUUUUGCUUGAUUGGUCUUGCGGUCUUCGAGACGUUUAAGGAGUGCUCGAUCAGGUUCCGUGGGACGCCGGGCAUGUCUGCGGGUUUCCAUGCGAAAACGCUCACGUUGUCCCUUAGAAACCUGACGAGCGCGUCUUCCUAUUUUGGAUCCAGGUUAGCCCCGAUGAGGGCUGUCUUCUCGGGGUUGCCCUCGACCAGCUGCACUUCUUUGUACUCCUUGGAUUUCGAAUUCUUUCUGGCUGUCUCCUGCUCAGGUAAUCGGAGCUGGUCGGGGGGCAGCUGUGCGGCUUGGUUUGCUGUUUCCGCCAUACGGAUUGAGAGGUCAAUUGCCUCGGUGAUCUUGAAACUUUCUUCUUCGCAGGUGUACGCAGUGUAGACGUUGCCUCUGACGGUCAGGACACCCUUCUCCGUGGGCAUCUUAAGCACUAGGUACGAGUAGUGCGGGACUGCCAUGAACUUUGUCAGCGAUGGGCGGCCCAGUAUGGCGUGGUAGGUCCCGUCGAAGUCCGCGACUACGAAGUUGAUGAACUCCGUCCGGAAGUGAUCGGGUGUGCCGAAUUGGACAGGCAAUGUUAUCUGUCCGAGGGGCACCGAACUUUGACCUGGCAAAACCCCCCAGAAUUGGGCGUCGUACGGUUUUAGUUGGGCCGGUGAUAUCUUGAGGGCGGGCAGGCUGUUGCGGAAGAGGAUGUCAAUGGAGCUUCCCCCGUCCACGAGCACGCGCUCGAAUCUGAUGCUGUUGAUGCAAGGAUCGAGAAUUAGUGGGAAACGACCCGGCUCCGGGAUAGCGGCCCACUGGUCCUUCCUGCUGAACGCGAUCUCCCUGUGGGACCAGGCGGGAAAUUUUGGAUCUGCGAUCAGCCCGUCCGUGCUGUCUAUGUUGAGGCAGGCUCUCUUCAACAGCUUUCUUUCUCGCUUGGACUCAGUGGAGACCUUGCCCCCGAAAAUGGAGUGGACCACGUCGGUGGGGCUGACGUAUUGGUGUCGGGGGUCCCUGUCUUGGUCCUCGUCCUCAUCUUCGUGGUCGUGUCCGUCGCGUUUGUUAUUUUUCUUGGCGGUGUCUUCUUGGGCGGCCCGCCGUGUAUAGAUAUUUUUGAGGACGCGGCACUCUUCCAUGGUGUGGUUAGACUUUGGAUGUAGCUGGCACGGUCCCUUCAACGUUUUGUUGUAGUCGUCUUGGUAGUCCCGACGUCCAUUGGGACGUUUGACCGUGUUUACUUCGUGGUCGUAUUCGCGAGGGCGCUUUCCUCUGAAGUCGUCGCGGCUGUCGCGCCGCCGAUCCCAACCCUCUCGGUGAUCGCGGUUGUCGGAGCGACGGUGAUUUCUGUUGUCGUAGCGGCCGCGACCGUCGUCUCGCCGGGAGGGCUGGUCGGUGCCUCUUGCAUCGUCUCGGAUUAGUUUUUCUGCGUCAUCAGCAUCGGCAUAAUUUUUAGCCGUGGCGAGGAGCUCUGCUACCGUUGAUGGACGUUUACGCAACAGCUUGUUCCUCAGCGCUUCAUGGAAACGUAAGCCCUUGAUAAAGGCUGAUAUGGCCUCGUCAUGAGAAAUCUUUGGGAUUUUGAGACGCAUAUCCGAGAAUCGUCGGAUGUAAUCGCGCAGAGGUUCAUUCUUCCUGUCUCUUAUCCUUUCAAGGUCAUAUUUGUUUCCGGGCUGUUCGCAUGUGGCGAUGAAGUUGUCAAUGAAAGCCUGUCGUAGUUCUUCCCAAGAGUCGAAGGAGUCCUCGGGCAAGCCGAGAAGCCACUGAUGGCCAGCCUGGUCGAGGACUAUGGGGAAGUAGUUAGCCAUGACGUGCUCAUCUCCUGCCGCUGAUCGGACGGCGAUUUCGUAGAGGGUGAUCCAGUUCUCUGGAUUUUCCUUGCCGUCGUAUUUUUUAAGUUUUUCGAGCUUGAAAUUUCUGGGCCACACGACCUGGCGGAGGUGUGAGGAGAACUGCCUUAGGCCCGGGGGACCAUGGGUCGCAUCGUACUCAAUGCGGCGCAGGUUUUCGUGGACUGCUCUCUCUGCGGCGCGCCUGUUGAUGCGGUCCCGGGCAUCUUUGGGAGGGAUGUUGUGGCGGAGAUCCCUGUGUUGAUCUUCUUCUUCCUGGCCGCGUACGCGGUUCUGCUGGCGGCGGCCAUCGGCGUCUCGACCACCAUCGUCGCGCCGUGAGUCCCCUCGACGGUUGUCGGGGGAGCGGCUGCGGCGACGCCUGCUGGGCGAGGCCCGGCUACGAUGAGUCUGGUCGGAGGCGGCUUCCGUAUAAGGGACGUCCUGGACUCUCUUAAGCAGAGUUGCUGUCUGUCCCAUCGCGGCGAUCAGGUGUGCUCGGAUACUGGUCCGGACCCCCUGGCAUUCUGGUGUGUCAGGAAGCCGAUCCAGGUUGGCCAUGGCAACAGCCACGUUGGCGCUUGGCGUUUUGUAGACCGGUUGGUCCCCGACCAUGUCAAAGGCGUCGUUGAGGUUACCCGGUGGCGUCUGUUGUUGCUCGUCCGCACGCCGUCGGGCGCGAUCAGCGUUGCGCUGUUCGCGGAGUUGCCUCUGGUCGUCUGUUUCUCCGUCAACGACCGGUUCGUCAGCGCUGACAUUGAAUACAAUAUCCCCUCGCCGGGGGGGGAAUAUCGGGAACCGGUCGAAACCCGGAGGGUGUGAAGGGAAAUCCAGGUCGUAGCCCUCGUCUUCGGUGUUUAUAACCUCGGUGGGGACGGAGCCGGUGCUUGAGUUGGUGCUGGAAACCUGGCCGUUCCGUAGCUCUCGGAUUGUCACCAUGUUGACAUGGUGACGAUUGUUCCUUGUCGGCGACCAGCCCGCUUUGCUGAAAACGGAUUGAACAUGCUGUGAGUAGACAGAGGCCGAGUUAUUCAGGCCGCAAGGAUGGUCUCCCUUUUUGAGCUCGACGGAUCGGCCUGAGGAGGUUGAGGUUAUCGUCAGGGAUGUUCCCAGCCGUUCGUGUGUGGUGACACGAGUUGGCCGGCGGGAUUUCGAAAAAUCCGCUUGAGUGGCUUGGUCGGGCCGGCGCAGAACUCCAUCUAUUAGUUGGGAGACUUCGAGCAGCUUGGAGUCGGCGCGAUCGAGCGCUUGGAGGAGGUCCGAGCAGUCGAUCUCCUUUCCCUUGUAGAGUGGGAACGGCGGCCGGGAGUUUGGUGCCGUCAUGCGUGUGGUCGGAGACGGCGUGAUCUCAGAUUGGAUCUGGAUCUCUUUCGGGACCGUGGUCGGGAAGCCGCCGCUGCACGUCGUCCACGUGAUCUGGCCGACGGUAAACGUGAGGCCUUCGGGCACGGUCGCGGAAGCUGGGAUCGUGACCAUCUUGUUCGCCGGAAAAGUUGCACGCACACCCCCUACCUGGCGCGCCACUGUCGACGAAAGCUAGUCGGCAGUCUACCUUGGGGUAUACCCACGGUAGUAGUUUAUCGGUAGACGGUGCGCAAACUACGAACUCGAUGGUGACGCAAGACACGGACAAGCUUUUUAUCCAGGUUCGGCCGCCGAGUUGGCGUAAUACCUACGUCCUGCGUCUGGGUUGUAUUGGAUUGUGUUGAGAGAUAGUCUACCCUAGGGGGUCCCCUUGCCCCUCCUUAUAUAGUCUGGAGGGCAGGGUUACAGAUCUAGAACUAAUCCUAGCCGGUUACAAUUGCCAUAGAUAAUUCGAUAUCAAUUCCUAUUCUAACCGACUAGAAUCCGGCUUGAUCUCCACGUCCUGUUUCCUUACGCGAAACUCAAGGUUGUCGGAUCAAGCCUUGAACUCGUCUCGUGAUGGGCCAAGCCUCCUGGCCGAAGUCUAGCCGUAAGGGUAUAGGGGUUUAUACCCCCACAAGAGCUAACUGAGCUAUCUGAUCAGAAAAUUCCAACUCAUUGUCACUGGCUGGUGCAAGAAACUCCAUCGGCAACAUGAAGACCAUGUUGACGCCUGCCGAUGGACCUUCCUUCUUAGUGUCUGACGGCUGCCGACUUUCGGAAUUCUCUCCUUUAUUUAGCUCCUCUUGCCUUUCUCGUUGCAAUCUCCUUUUCUGUGUCUUGGUUAAUCCUCGAGGGCACCAUGGAGGAAGUGGCCUUUGCCUUACCGUCGGGCGUCGGUUCUCCCUUGACUCCAUGCAAUGCGUGUUAGCAUCCCUGCAAAAUAUGAAUUCAUCGGGAACCCGCGCAUCAGCCAUUCCUUCGAGCUCCUCUCGGUUCCUGGGAAAAUACUGGACACGGUCACUAAGUCUGUUGUGCCCACUGAAUCUGCCCCCCAGCCGGUCAUGAACUGACACCCUUCCUCUGAUCGGCCCAUUAGCUCGCCGUUCAUCAUCAUAAUAACGCCGAUCGUUCCUAUUGUACCGAUCAUAACCGUUGCAUUCAGGGCAGUCUCUGACAGUAGGAAGCUUGAUAUUUUCCUCCCAACAGUGGAUGAAGAAUGGGCAAUUCCAAUGAUCCCUGUGCCGAUUCCACUCCUGUCGGCGUCUUUCUUCUUCCCAUUGAUAAUCUUCCUGCUGGCGUCGAUACCGAUCUUCCCGUUGUUGCCAUUUUUCUCGAGGCCUCCUAUGAGUUAUGACGACGCCAGAUCGAGGAAGCCUUCCUGAGCUAGCUCCUUCCUGGACCAAGCCCUUACUUCUUGCAUCGGCAGUAGUAACUUGAUGCUGAGGAUCUACCGAUGCACUCUUCUCAGCUGUUUCCGAUGUUAAGACCUUGGCCUUCCCCUUAGCAUCCAACAUGUUUGUCGGGAAAGGAUGUUGGUCUAUCUUCAUCGGCUUCUGGGCUUUGGAACUGUCAAAUUUGAUUCUCCCUGACUCUAUAGCCGAUUGCAGCUGCUGUCUGAAUACUUUGCACUCGUUGGUGUCAUGGGAAGUUGCAUUAUGCCACUUGCAAUAUCUCAUCCUCUUCAACUCUUCUGCCGACGGGAUCACGUGGUUAGGUGACAGUUUGAUUUGACCUUCCUGAAGUAAAAAGUCAAAUAUCCUAUCGGCCUUGGCGGUGUCAAAGGCGAACUUCUCUGGUUCCUUCUGCCCAAAAGGACAAGACAUCGGCUUCUUGUUUUUUACCCACUCGGCCAAACCGAUUACUGGUUCCUCAUCGGAAUCUGAGCUUGUUGCUUCGUCAACAAAUGACACUUUCUUAUUCCAUGCCCUCUUAGGCUCGAAAGGCUUGAUGUCUUGAUCAGAUAUCCUCUGCACCAAAUGACUUAAACUUUCGAACUCUUGGGAGGCAUACUUAUCCCUGAUAUGUGGCAACAAACCUUGGAAAGCCAAAUCGGCUAGCUGCCGAUCAUCCAGAACCAGGCUAUAGCAUUUAUUCUUGACCUCUCGUAUCCUCUGCACAAAUCCCUCAACCGACUCAUCAUUACGUUGCCUCAACUUGACCAAGUCGGUGAUUUUCUUCUCAUGAACCCCCGAGAAGAAGUAUCUGUGGAAUUGCUUCUCUAGAUCGGCCCAAGUAAUUACUGAGUUGGGAGGUAAUGAUAUGAACCAAGUAAAGGCCGAUCCAGACAAUGAUGAUGAAAAUAGACGAACCCUCAAUUCGUCCCUGUUACCAGCCUCUCCACAUUGAAUAAUGAACCUGUUGACAUGCUCCAUGGUUGACGUGUCGUCCUGUCCGGAAAACUUUGUAAAAUCCGGUACCUUGUACCGAUGUGGAAGCGGGAUCAAAUCAUACGCUGGAGGAUACGGUGUCCGAUAAGAAUAAGUGUUGACUUUGGGUUUUAUCCCAAAUUGUUCCCUCAUUACUUCAGCAAUCUUAUCGGCCCAAUACGCAUCGGCAUCUUGCCGAUGAGGCGGCUGCGGAUCUGGCAUUUGGUGGCGAACCUCCACGUGUCUGUUCGGGACGUGACCUGUAUGGAACAUUGUAUUGGUCACCUGUCCUCCAAUCUGCGGACUACCAAACUGCUGUCCACCGAUUGGCUGUCCUCCGAGUUGCUGUCCAAAAUUUAUUGGCUGGUUGGGAAUUCCCUGACCUUGGAACCUGGGAUAAACCUGCCCUUGCUGGAACCCUGUAGUCUGAUAACCCUGCUGGGGCGAUUGUGGAAGGGUUUGCUGUCCAAGCCAUCCAUUGUUAGCGUUCAUCGGCAUAGGUGCUGCCGAUGAUUGGUAAUUGGGUACCGUCGUCGAAUUGACAUAUCCCGACUGGGCCAUCGGUCUCUGUUGCAUCAGCAUUGACUCUGCCGAUGCGUUGGGCAUCUGGAAUAUUGAAUCUUGAGGAUUCCCAGUGUAAGGCCGCGAGGUAGUAGUUGUGGUAUACCGAGGACUCUGGUUCACCGGCGCAUUGGGAGGUGCCGAUGUCAUAGGAGUUUUGCCCCUCAUGUCAGUUAUUUGUGAUGUUCCCGGCGUCAACUCUGGAGGCAUACCAUAACCCCACCAGUUGGGAGGAAGAUUUAACCCUGACAUUGCCGAUGCCAACAUAUCUGUUGUCAGUUUAUGCUGCCCAACUGAAAUUUGUGGGUUGGUUGCCAUCGGCAUAGAUAGUGCACCAGUAGUCCCCAAUGUACUUGGAGGGACGGCAGACUGUGCACUUACAUUCGUCAAGACAGCCGAUGGAGCCGUGACCUCUGGUGCCGUUGGCUGAUGAUGGGAGGGCCCCACAUAAUCUGGCGGGAUUUGUCCUUCCUUGAAAGUUCUUGCCACGGCGUUGAAAACCGUAUUAGACAGUACGCCAGCCUGGUUAAUCAACGCUCGAUUGAUGGCAUUGUCUACCAUGUCUUGAAGCUUGCCAGGGUUGGCGUCGAAGGUGACCUGCCGUGGUGCCGGCAGUGCAUCUUUCUGGACCACUUCGCCGCUCCUGUUUAUGCUGAAAGACUUCAGGCGCUGCUGCUUGAAUUCUUCCAUGGCUUGGGCAAUAGCUUGCUUUUGCUCAUCCUUGAGGUUGGCCUCCGUCACGGGGAUGACGUUCUCUUGAUCGAGGUCGGAGAUCGACAUGUUGAUCUUGAUCUUGAAUCUGUCCCACUGGGCGUGCCAAAAGAUGUGUUGAUGCAAAACUGAUCUGCAAACACAAAGGGCUAAUACCCGAUUCAAACGUUAAGGCGUGCCAGCCGAUUUGACCUUGCUAUCGGCAAAGGUGAUAACUCGAAUACUUUAGUCCUGACAACAGCGAUGCGCCCGGAUGUCACGGCUAAGAGGUACUCACGCGGAACUCGAGAACACGCCGAGCUUAAGUCGACGAAUUCCUAAGAACUCGUAAUAAAAGGAAAAAAAAUAUGACGAAGUCGUCGAAAAGUAGAUGCUGGAAUAUGAGUAAAAACGUGUGUUUGAUUGAUUUCUUGAUAUAUUGAUUACAAGGUCCUAGGGUUUAUAUUUAUACCCUGCUCAAAGAGCUACAACCAGACACGAUUAGAAUUCGAAUUCCAAAUUACACGGAAUCCGUAUACAAAACGAUGCAAAUAACUAAGGAAAUAAUAAAACUAUCCUUCGUGACAAACCGAAACUCCUCCAGAUGACAACUGGCAGCUUCCGGACUCCUCCUUCGCGUCAUCGGCAAUCCCCUUGCCAUAGUCAUCGGCAGAUCUUUUUACCCAGCCAUCGGCACCAUAUUACUGCCUGUGGACUUAGUCACAUUCAACUUCUCCCUCAUCGGCAACCAUCCUCAUCAGCAACCCGCAUUGUACUGCCACCCUAUCCUGCCAUCCUGGACACGUGCCCAAAAAUGGUGUCAACAAUAAUACAAGAUAAUAGCAAGACUUAAAAUUUUCUCAGCAAACCGUCUUUCUCCCUCGCAGCGGCGCCAAAAAUGCUUGUUGAUAUUUGUUAACGCCAUCAGGAAAUGAUCCGCAAGCGCACGGAUAUCGGUGAGCACUUCACCCGGGAGGUUAUCCAGAGUAUCGUAUUUAUAUUUUUACCACUGGGAGAAAGCAUGCAUCUGACUAACCAAAUCUAUUGCUACUACCCUUUAGGCUACAAAGAAUGUGACUCGAUGUGAGCAAUGUGUAGAGAAGACUACAACUGUAAUCUUGUUCUAACCUUGGUAAGGAUGAUCUACUGUUCUAUUGGGGAGGCUCACAGAAUCUAGACACCACAGAGGAUGUUCGACCCGCACCUAUAAACCCUAUCGAUCCUGCUAACGGGAUAUGGGCUACAAAGGUAACUCGAAAAUGUCACGUUCCUUGUUACUACCAUGGUCAAGCUAGUCAGGGGAUAUCUAUGAGUAUCCUAGCCCAAACACCACGUUUACGCUAGAGAUGAUUACUCUAAACUCUACGCGAAGAGAUCAAAGUAAACUCAUAAACCAAAGAACAAUGAAACAAGAACUUACUAGAAUUUAGAAGUCGAAAUAUUGAAGAAUCCUAGGAGCAAGCCUCGGGUUAGGAGACUUGAUCCCGUAGGUACAACCUCGAAUAGACACCGACAGACCGAGCUUCCUCCGAUCUACACCUCCACUAUAUCUCUCUCAAUCUAGUAGAACUAGUCUACUCUCACAUUGGAUGCUAAGCUCUAAGUCUAUGUAGAGGAAAGGUUAUCCUUCGAGGGCACCUCUCAACUCUAUAAUGAACUUGUUCUCCUCCAGAGGCCAGGGGGUCUGCUUAUAUAGUCCCCUCAGGUGAACGUGGGUCGUCGGAUGAAACCGACAUUGAUUGAAUGGUUAUCCUUGAUCAUUUAGGUCGGUGGAGCAUAAUCUGCGAGAUUGAACGUGACUGGGCACAACAACUGGGCGGGCGCCCAAGGGGGGAGGGUGGGCACCUUGCCCCUGGGCCCGCUUGGCCUCCUGUUCGUUCCCGUGGCUUCUGGAGUCUUUUAGAUGAUAGAAAAUUGCGCGGCAUGUUAAUAUCUCUAUGUAAUCCUCACAUGUGGGCCUUUCUUCCAUAUUUCCUGAUAACCCCCUGCAAAAAUAGAUAAACAACAAAACUCGUGGAAUUCUGUCAGAUCAAACCCUAAGUCUGGGUGUUGGAUGCAUUUGGAUCCUUUUCUUUAUUUAUUUGAUGAUUAUAUUUGGUACUUAAGGACCGUCAAUAGUACCAUAUAAGCAUCAAAUUUAUUUGAUUUUCAUGAAUGAUCCUAAGACAUGUAAGGAAUGACUAGAUGCACUAAACAAGUCCUUAGCAUAGGAUGGAUGACAUGUCAAACAAUUUUACCUUACUUUGCUCGAAGGAGAGGCAUGUCAUAUAAUGGGGGUGCAUCAACACAUAUUUGAGAAGUCAAGUAUGUUCAAUUCAUUCCUUAGCUUGCAAAAUCUCUUCUCAUCAAGUGGCUUGGUGAAUAUAUCGACAAGUUGAUCAUCGGUGCCUAUACUCUCAAUACAAAUGUCCCCUUUUUGUUGAUGAUCUCUUAUGAAGUGAUGGCAGACAUCUAUGUGCUUUGUUCUUGAGUGUUGAACCAGGUUGUUGGUGAGCUUCACGGCACUCUCAUUAUCACAUAGCAAUGGCACUUGCUUGAAGUUGAUUCCAAAAUGUUUCAAUGUUGCCUUCAUCCAUAGGAUUUGUGCACAACAACUACUGGCCGCAAUGUACUCCGCUUCGGCGGUUGAUAGUGCAACACUAUUUUGUUUCAUGGAUGACCAUGAGACAAGUGAUCUUCCUGAUAGUUGACAUGUGCCCGAUGUGCUUCUUCUCUCAACUUUGCAUCCUGGAUAGUCUGAAUCAGAAUAUCCAAUAAGUUCAAACUUUGCACCUUUGGGAUACCACAAACUAACAUUUUGUGUAUGCUUAAAGUACCUCAAUAUUCUCUUUGUGGCUUUCAAGUGACUUUCUCUUGGUGAGGCUUGGAAUCUUGCACACAUGCAUACACUAAACAUGACAUCGGGUCUUAAUGCGGUCACAUAGAGUAGGCUUCCAAUCAUAGACCAAUACAACUUUUGAUCCACCAUAUUUCCACUUGUAUCACUAUCUAAGCUUUCAUUUGUUCCCAUCGGAGUGCUAAUUGAUUUUGCAUCAUCCAUGCCAAACUUCUUGAGCAUGUCUUUUAUGUACUUGCCUUGACUCACAAAUGUGCCACUUUUCAAUUGCUUGAUUUGAAGACCAAGGAAGUAACUAAGCUCUCCAAUCAUUGAGAUCUCAAACUCAUUAGCCAUCAUGUUUCCAAACUCCUCACAAAAUUCUUGAUUGGUUAAUCCAAAUAAGAUAUCAUCAACAUAAAUUUGCAACACAAACAAGUCCUUGCCAAUCUUCUUGGUGAAGAGAGUGGUGUCACCCUUGCCCAUCUUGAAACCUUUAGAGAGUAAGAAAUCUCUCAAUCUCUCAUACCAUGCUCUAGGUACUUGCUUCAAACUAUACAAUGCCUUUCUUAGCUUGUAAACAUGGUUGGGUUUCAUGUCAUCUUAAAAUCGGUUGGUUGCUCAACAUAUACUUCUUCAUUGAUAUAGCCAUUGAGAAAUGCACUUUUCACAUCCAUUUGAUAUAACUUGAUGUUAUGAGCACAAGCAUAGGCCAACAAGAUUCUAAUUGCUUCCAAUCUUGCAACCGGAGCAUAUGUUUCACCAAAGUCAAGACCUUCAACUUGAGUAUAGCCUUGUGCUACCAAUCUUGCUUUGUUUCUUACCACUAUCCCAUCUUGAUCUUGUUUGUUGUUAAAGACCCAUCUAGUACCAAUGACAUUGUGAUCACUAGGCCUCUCAACUAAUUCCAUACUUGAUUUCUUUUGAAGUUGUUAAGCUCUUCAUGCAUAGCAUUAACCCAAUCAAAAUCUCUCAAUGCUUCUUCAAUCUUCUUUGCCUCAAUGUGAGACACAAAGGAGAAAUGCUCACAAAAUGAUGCUAGUCUUGAUCUAGUUUGCACUCCUCUUUGAAUGUCACCAAUGAUAUGAUCCAAUGGAUGAUCUCUUGCAAUAUUUGUUGGUUGGAGUAUUUGCACUUGAUUGCUUGCACUUGGUUGAUCCCGAUAUGAUGUACUAGCUUGUUGAUCUUGCACUUGUGUACCAACUAUACUAGAUUGAUUUUGAUCAUAAGAACCACUAGCCUGCACAUUAGAGGUAGGAAGCACUUGAUCUUUGUCAUCUUCAACAUCAAUCACCUCUCUAGGCCUUAAAUCACCAAUAUCCAUGUUAUUCAUUGCAUCGGCCAAUUGAGUGCCUCUCACAUCAUCUAGAUUCUCAUCUUCUUCUUGAGAGUCAUUGGUUUCAUCAAACUCAAUAUCAUGCACUUCCUCAAGAGUACCACUAACCAAAUUCCAAAAGUCUAUAAGCUUUGCUAGUAGUGAAGUAACCAAGCAGGAAACCUUCAUCACAUUUCUUUUCAAAUUUGCUCAAUCUAUUGCCUUUCUUCAAUAUGUAUCAUUUGCAACCAAAAACCCAAAAGUAUGCAAUGUUGGGCUUUCUUCCAUUCAAGAGCUCAUAUGGUGUCUUCUCCAUCAUUGGGUUACAAUAGAGUCGGUUGCUAUAGUAGCAAGCCGUGUUGAUUGCUUCGGCCCAAAGAGAAUGACUCACAUUGUAUUCACUCAACAUUGAUCUUGCCAUGUCAAUCAAGGUUCUAUUCUUCCUCUCAACAAGACUAUUUGAUUGUGCAGUAUACUUGGCCGAGAAUUGAUGCCUAAUACCAAAUUCAUCACAAAGCUCAUCAACUCUUGUGUUCUUGAAUUCACUUCCAUUGUCGCGUCUUACUUUCUUGAUGGUUGUUUCAAACUCAUUGUGUAUUCUCUUGACAAAUGUUUUGAAAAUGGCAAAAGCAUCACUCUUGUCACUGUUGACGGUCCUUGAGUAUCAAAUAUAAUCAACAAAUAAAUAGAGAAAAGGAUCCAAAUGCAACUGACAUCCAGACUUAGGGUUUUAUCUGACAGAAUUCCACGAGUUUUGGUGUUUGUCUAUUUUCUGUAGGGGGUUAUCAGGAAAUAUGGAGGAAAGGCCCACACGUCGGGUUUACAUAGAGAUAUUAACGUGCCGCGCAAUUAUCUAACAUCUAGAAGAGUCCAGAAGCCAUGGGAACGAACGGGAGACCGAACAGGCCUGGGGGCACGGCGCUCGCCCUGGUCUAAGGACCAAUCAGCUUCAACUUCGCGGAUCAUGCUCCACCGACUUGAAGGAUCAAGAAAAAUUGUGCGAUUAAUGUCAGUUUGAUCCGACGGCCCACAUUCACUUGGAAGGACUAUAUAAGCAGACCCCCUGGCCCCAGGAGGAGAGUACCUCUAAACCCUAAUUCAUUAUCCAUCUCGAGAGAAGAAGCCUCUGAUCAAGCCCUAGAGCCACCACAUCAAUAGAUCUCUAGUUUAGCAUAGCUACAUAGGAUUAGAACUAGAAGGAGUCAAUCUUCGAUUGGUUUCUGGAUCUGUCAAGAGGAUUCUUGGUAAUUUCUCUAUUGUUCUUCAAUUGUUCAUCUUUGUUCUUCAAUAUUAUGUAUAUGACUUUGUUCUACUUCAAUAUAUUGAUUAUGACUUUGCUCUACUUGUUUGUAUUUGCAAUUAUAUUGUUCUUAGUUUAUCAUAGUUAUAUGGUUGGCUUAGUUAGAUUGGAAUUAUAUACAUGUUUAGGAUCAUAUAUCGUUUAUUCUUGUGUACAGUGGGUAAAUGAUAAGUAUUGUGUAGGCGUGGUGCCUAUACCGUAUUUAUCUGUGAUUGUACUCUAUAUGUCAGAUCGCGGGGUAGUUCGUGGUAGUGACAGCUCCAUUAAUUCUUAUAUAGUCCCCCUCUCAUGUAUAGGGCUGGCAGAGCAACAUUAUUACACGUGAGUGAUUGCUAUGUUUCUCAUCUUCCUUGAUAAUAUCACUAUGCAUGGGCGUAGUCCUGUCUCUCAAUGAUUGCCAAGUAUAAUUGCACUAACUAUGAUAUGCUAGUGUUGACACCGUUUUUGGGCACGUGUCUAGGAUGGCAGGAUAAGGUGGCAGUACGAUGUUUACAAAGUGGGUUGCCGAUGAGGGAGAAGUUGAACGUGACUAAGUCCACAGGCAGUAAUAUGGUGCCGAUGGCUAGAUAAGAAAGUCUGCCGAUGACUAUGGCAAAGGGUCUGCCGAUGAUGCAAAGAGGGAGUCCGGAAGCUGCCGGUCGUUAUGUGGAGGAGUUUCGGUUUGUCACGAGGGAUAGUUUUGUUAUUUCCUUAAUUAUUUGCAUCGUUUUGUAUAUGGAUUCCGUGUAAUUUGGAAUUCGAAUUCUAAUCGUGUCUGGUUGUAGCUCUUUGAGCAGGGUAUAAAUAUAGACCCUAGGGCCUUGUAAUAAAAAAUCAAUCAAUCAAUGAAUCAAACACACGUUUUUACUCAUAUUCCAGCAUUUACUUUUCGACGACUUCGUCAUACUUUUUCCUUUUGUUACGAGUUCUUAGGAAUUCGUCGACUUAAGCUCGGCGUGUUCUCAAGUUCCUCGUGAGUACCUCUUAGCCGUGACAUCCGGGCGCAUCGCUGUUGUCAGGACUAAAGUAUUCGAGUUAUCACCUUUGCCGAUAGCAAGGUCAAAUCGGCUGGCACGCCUUAACGUUUGAAUCGGGUAUUAGCCCUUUGUGUUUGCAAAUUAGUUUUGCAUCAACACAUCUUUUGGCACGCCCGGUGGGACAGGAUUCAAGAUCAAGAUCAACAUGUCGAUCUCUGACCUCGAUCAAGAGAACGUCAUCCCCGUGACGGAGGCCAACCUCAAGGAUGAGCAGAAGCAAGCUAUUGCCCAAGCCAUGGAAGAGUUCAAGUAGCAAUGCCUGAGGUCUUUCAGCAUAAACAGGAGCGGCGAAGUGGUCCAGAAAGAUGCACUGCCGGCACCACGGCAGGUUACCUUUGACGCCAAUCCUGGCAAGCUUCAAGAUAUGGUUGACAAUGCCAUCAAUCGAGCGUUGAUUAACCAAGCUGGUGUACUGUCUAAUACGGUUUUCAAUGCCGUGGCAAGAACUUUCAAGGAAGGACAAAUCCCACCAGAUUAUGUGGGCCCCUCCCAUCAUCAGCCAACGGCACCAGAGGUCACGGCUCCAUCGGCUGCCUUGACGACUGCAAGUGCACAAUCUGCCGUCCCUCCAAGUACAUCGGGGACUACUGGUGCACUAUCUAUGCCGAUGACAACCAACCCACAAAUUUCAGUUGGGCAGCAUAAACUGACAACAGAUAUGUUGGCAUCGGCAAUGUCAGGGUUGACUCUUCCUCCCAACUGGUGGGGUUACGGUAUGCCUCCAGAGUUGACACCGGGAACAUCACAAAUAACUGACAUGAGGGGCAAAACUCCUAUGACAUCGGCACCUCCCAAUGCGCCGGUGAACCAGAGUCCUCGGUAUACCACAACUACUACUGCAAGGCCUCACACUGGAAAUCCUCAAGAUUCAAUGUUCCAGAUGCCCAACGCAUGGGCAGAGUCAAUGCUGAUGCAACAGAGGUCUAUGGCUCAGUCGGGGUAUGUCAAUUCAACGACGGUACCCAAUUACCAAUCAUCGGCAGCACCUAUGCCGAUGAACGCUAAUAAUGGAUGGCUUGGACAGCAAGUCUUUCCACAAUCGCCCCAUCAGAGUUACCAGACUACAGGGUUCCAGCAAGGGCAGGUCUAUCCCAGGUUCCAAGGUCAGGGGAUUCCCAACCAGCCAAUGAAUUUUGGACAGCAACUCGGAGGACAGCCAAUCGGUGGACAGCAGUUUGGUGGUCCGCAGAUUGGAGGACAGGUGAUCAAUACAAUGUUCCGUGCAGAUCACGUCCCGAACAGACACGUGGAGGUUCGCCACCAAGUGCCAGAUCCGCAGCCGCCUCAUCGGCAAGAUGCCGAUGCAUAUUGGACCGAUAAGAUUGCUGAAGUAAUGAGGGAACAAUUUGGGAUAAAACCCAAAGUCAACACUUACUCUUAUCGGACACCGUAUCCUCCCGCGUAUGAUUUGAUCUCGCUUCCACAUCGGUACAAGGUACCGGAUUUUACAAAGUUUUCCGAGCAGGACGACACGUCAACCAUGGAGCAUGUCAACAGGUUCAUCAUUCAAUGUGGAGAGGCUGGUAACAGGGACGAAUUGAGGGUUCGUCUAUUUUCAUCAUCAUUGUCUGGACCGGCCUUUACUUGGUUCAUAUCAUUACCUCCCAACUCAGUAAUUACUUGGGCCGGUCUAGAGAAGCAAUUCCACAAAUACUUCUUCUCGGGGGUUCAUGAGAAGAAGAUCACCGACUUGGUCAAGUUGAGGCAACGUAAUGAUGAGUCGGUUGAGGGUUUUGUGCAGAGGAUACGAGAGGUCAAGAAUAAAUGCUAUAGCUUGGUUCUGGAUGAUCGGCAGCUAGCCGAUUUGGCUUUCCAGGGUUUGUUGCCACAUAUCAGGGAUAAGUAUGCCUCUCAGGAGUUCGAAAGUUUAAGUCAUUUGGUGCAGAGGAUUUCUGAUCAAGACAUCAAGCCUUUCGAGCCUAAAAGAGCAUGGAAUAGGAAAGUAUCAUUUGUCGAUGAAGCAACAAGCUCAGAUUCUGAUGAAGAAUCAGUAAUCGGCUUGGCAGAGUGGGUAAAAAACAAGAAGCCGAUGUCUUGUCCUUUUGGGCAGAAGGAACCAGAGAAGUUUGCUUUUGACACCGCUAAGGCUGAUAGGAUAUUUGACUUUCUACUUCAGGAAGGUCAGAUCAAAGUGUCACCUAACCAUGUGAUCCCAUCGGCAGAAGAGUUGAAGAGGAUGAGAUAUUGCAAGUGGCAUAAUGCAACUUCCCAUGACACCAACGAGUGCAAAGUAUUCAGACAGCAGCUGCAAUCGGCUAUAGAGUCAGGGAGAAUCAAGUUUGACAGUUCCAAAGCCCAGAAGCCGAUGAAGAUAGACCAACAUCCUUUCCCGACAAACAUGUUGGAUGCUAAGGGGAAGGCUAAGGUCUUAACAUCGGAGACAGCUGAGAAGAGUGCAUCGGUAGAUCCUCAGCAUCAAGUUACUACUGCCGAUGCAAGAAGUAAGGGCUUGGUCCAGGAAGGAACUAGCUCAGGAAGGCCUCCUCGAUCUGGUAUCGUCAUAACUCAUAGAAGGCCUCGAGAAAAUUGGCAACAACGGGAAGAUCGGUAUCGGCGCCAGCAGGAAGAUUAUCGACGGGAAGAAGAAAGACGCCGACAGGAGUGGAAUCGGCACAGGGAUCAUUGGAAUUGUCCAUUCUUCAUCCAUUGUUGGGAGGAAAAUAUCAAGCUUCCUACUGUCAGAGACUGCCCUGAGUGCAACGGUUAUGAUCGGUACGAUAGGAUCGAUCGGCAUUAUCAUGAUGAUGAACGGCGAUUUAAUGGGCCGAUCAGAGGAAGGGUGUCAGUUCAUGACCGGCUGGGGGGCAGAUUUAGUGGGCACGACAGACUUAGUGACCGUGUCCAGUAUUUUCCCAGGAACCAAGAAGAGCUCGAGGAAAUGGCUGAUGCGCGGGUUCCCGAUGAAUUCAUAUUUUGCAGGGAUGCUAACACGCAUCGUAUGGAGUCAAGGGAGAACCGACGCCCGACGGCAAGGCAAAGGCCACUUCCUCCAUGGUGCCCUGGAGGAUUAACCAAGACACAGAAAAGGAGAUUGCAACGUGAAAGGCAAGAAGAGCUAAACAAGGGAGAGAACUCUGGAAGUCGGCAGCUGUCAGACACUAAGAGGGAAGGUCCAUCGGCAGGCGUCAACAUGGUCUUCAUGUUGCCGAUGGAGUUUCUUGCACCAGCCAGUGAUGAUGAGUUGGAAUUUUCUGAUCAGAUAGCUCAGUUGGCUCUGGAUCCGAUGACGGCUAUCUUUGAGAAACCUGCCGAUGACGAGAGGCAGCAUCUUAAAGCUCUGUUCCUCAAAGGAAGGGUUGAUGGGCAGCCAAUGACCAAGAUCCUAGUUGAUGGUGGAGCUGCUAUUAAUAUUAUGCCGUAUGCAGUAUAUCGGAAGCUUGGGAAAGGGGAUCACGAUUUGACCAAGACCGAUAUGAUGCUCAAAGACUUUGAAGGAAACGUGUCUCCAGUCAAGGGGGCGAUAUGUGCAGAGUUGAUCAGCGGAAAAGGUGCUUACAACUUAUUGUUGGGAAGAGAUUGGAUUCAUGCCAAUUGUUGUAUCCCAUCUACAAUGCAUCAAUGCUUGGUUCAGUGGGUAGGUGACAAGAUUGAGAUUGUCCCAGGAGAUUCUUCUUAUGUUAUCGCAUCGGCAGAAGCGGAUACUUACGAAAGGACCAGGUGCAUUUCAGGAGAAGUUUGGGAGAAAGAUUUUCUCAAAGUUGCCGAUUAUGAGAUUCCACCGAUCCAAGCAGUCGGUUCUGACGACGGUUUUUAAUGGAUAGAUUCGCCGAUGAUGGAAAAUUAGGCCAGGGAUUCACAUCGGCCGAUGAUUUGGUAGAAGUAGAUAUAGGUAGUGGUGAUAAGCCUAGGCCUACUUUUAUUAGUGCUAAAUUAGAUCCUGAGAGUAAGCAACAAUUGACUAGUUUGUUAAAGGAAUAUAAAGAUUGCUUUGCUUGGGAUUAUACCGAGAUGCCUGGUUUAGACCGAUCAAUUGUUGAACAUCGGUUACCCAUCAAGUCUGGAUUUCGGCCAUAUCAGCAACCAGCCCGCCGAUGUAAUCCUAACAUUCUACCUGAUAUUAAGGCCGAAAUCACCAAACUUAUUGAAGCUAAGUUUAUUCGGCAGUGUCGGUAUGCCGAGUGGAUUUCCAAUGUUGUUCCGGUUUACAAGAAGAACGGGAAGCUUCGGGUGUGCAUUGAUUUCAGGAAUCUCAAUAAAGCUACGCCGAUGGAUGGAUACCCAAUGCCUGUCGCCGAUCUACUGGUUGAUGCUGUGGCUGGUCAUCAGGUCAUCAGCUUCAUGGAUGGUAAUGCAGGUUACAAUCAAAUAUUCAUGGCGGAGGAGGAUAUUCCAAAAACCGCAUUCAGGUGUCCUGGUCAUGUUGGGCUAUUUGAAUGGAUAGUCAUGACUUUUGGGUUGAAGAAUGCUGGUGCUACUUAUCAAAGGGCUAUGAAUUUUAUAUUUCAUGAGUUCAUCAGCAAGCUCGUGGAGAUUUAUAUUGAUGAUGUGGUGGUUAAGUCUGGAGAUUUCUCAAAGCAUCUUGCCGAUUUACAAAAAGUGUUAGAGUGCACAAGGAAGCAUGGAUUGAAGAUGAAUCCCAACAAGUGUGCAUUUGGUGUAUCGGCAGGGCAGUUUCUUGGUUUCAUGGUACAUCAGAGGGGUAUUGAAAUUAGUCGAAGAUCUAUUGAUGCCAUCAAUAAAAUAGUGGCCCCUACCAACAAAACCGAGCUCCAAUCCUUGAUCGGCAAGGUAAAUUUUAUCAGGAGAUUUAUAUCGAAUUUGUCUGAUAGGAUUCGUGCUUUCAGUCCUCUUCUUAAAUUGAAAGCCGAUCAAGAGUUUAUUUGGGGAGAAGAACAGCAGUUGGCUCUGGAUGAAAUCAAGAAGUAUCUAGUAAAUCCUCCAGUUCUAGUUCCACCUCAACAAGGGAAGCCCUUCAGAUUGUAUUUAUCUACCGAUGGAUCGGUUAUCGGUUCAGCUUUAGUUCAAGAAUUUGAAGGGAAAGAAAGGGUAAUUUAUUAUUUGAGUAGGAGGUUGAUUGAUGCUGAAACCAGGUAUUCGGCCAUUGAGAAACUAUGCUUAUGCUUAUAUUUUUCAUGUAUCAAGCUGAGACAUUACCUGUUAUCGGCCGAAUGCACUGUUGUUUGCAAAGAUGACGUGGUCCGAUACAUGCUAUCUAUGCCGAUUAUGAGUGGUAGGAUCGGUAAAUGGAUUUUAGCGCUGUCGGAGUUCGAUUUGCGUUACGAAUCGGCUAAGGCAGUCAAAGGGCAGAUUAUGGCCGAUUUUGUGACUCAGCAUUGCGGUCUAGUGGAAACCUUGGAAAUUGUACCCUGGACGCUCUUCUUUGAUGGGUCUACCUGUGACCGGGGGGCAGGAAUCGGCAUUGUAUUAGUUUCCCCUAAGGGGAGGAAGUAUGAGUUUUCCUUGCCGAUUGUUGCCACAUCAACAAAUAAUCAGGCUGAGUAUCAGGCUCUGAUCAAGGGAUUGGAGUUGUUAAGAGAAGUUCGUGCUGAUGCUGUUGAAAUAUUCGGGGAUUCUAUGUUGGUUAUAAAUCAAUUGGCCGGAAGCUAUGAAUGCCGAAGUGAAGUUCUCAUAACUUAUUUCGAGAGAAGUAUGCAACUGUUAAAGGAAUUCAAGGAUUUCCGAUUGGAGCAUGUUCCCUGAUUGCAUAAUGAAGACGCUAAUCGGUUAGCUCAGCAUGCCUUGGGAUAUCAGCCAAUGAUUAAUGCGACAUCGGCAGUCGGUGCCGGUGAUUGGAGGAAAGAAAUUAUUGAUUAUCUAAAAGAUCCAUCCAAAAAAGUUGAAAGACGGGUUCGAUUUCAAGCAACCAAGUAUGUGCUCCUUGAAAAUGAAUUGUAUUAUCGAACUAUCGACGGAAUUCUUCUCCGAUGCUUGGGUGAUGAUGAAGCUAGAAGUUUGAUGGGGGAAAUCCAUGAAGGAGUGUGUGGAGCGCAUCAGUCAGCUUUUAAGAUGAAGUGGACGAUUCGAAGGAAUGGAUAUUUUUGGCCAACCAUACUUGAAGAUUGUUUUAAAUAUUUCAAGGGAUGUCAAGGUUGUCAAAAGUUUGGUAAUAUCCAGAGAACACCCGCAUCGGCUAUGAAUCCUAUAAUAAAGCCUUGGCCGUUCCGGGGAUGGGCCAUCGAUCUAAUCGGCCAGAUUUAUCCACCAUCUAGCAAAGGGCAUAAGUUCAUUCUAGUUGCCACUGACUAUUUCAGUAAGUGGGUUGAAGCUAUUCCUUUGAAGAAAGUCACAUCGGCCAAUAUGAUUGAUUUUGUGAAGGAGCAUAUUAUUUACCGAUUUGGGAUUCCCCAAAUGAUUACUACCGAUCAGGGCACCAUGUUCACAUCGGGGGAGUUCGAUGAAUUCGCAAUCGGUAUGGGAAUUAAAGUGCUGAAUUCUUCUCCUUAUUAUGCUCAAGCCAAUGGGCAGGCCGAAGCGUCUAACAAAGGAAUUAUCAAGCUUAUUAAACGAAAGAUUGAAGAAAAUCCUAAGCGGUGGCAUACAUUAUUAAAUGAAGCAUUGUGGUCUUAUCGGAUGGCUUGUCAUAGAUCGACCAAAGUAUCACCCUAUCAAUUGGUGUAUGGACAUGAUGCAGUGUUGCCUUGGGAAAUUAAGGCCGGAUCUAGGCGAUUAUCUUUUCAAGAUCAAUUAACUUCCGAUGGUUAUGCCACUUUGAUGACCGAUGAAUUGGACGAUCUAGCAGGGCAUCGGUUAAAAGCUUUAAUGAGUAUAGAAGAAAAUAAGAAGAGAGUUGCUAGAUGGUAUGAUAAGAAAGUGAAGGCUAAAGAUUUUGCCGAUGGGGAUUUGGUAUGGAAAUUAAUUUUACCAAUUGGGACCAAAAGUUCGAAGUUUGGAAAGUAGAAACCCUCGAAGGAAUUGAAUUUCCCAGAGCAUUAAACGGCAAAUAUUUAAAGAAGUACUACCCCAGUAUAUGGGUCGAUGCAUAGAAGUUUAGGUGCCGAUAACACUCCUAUCGGCUGGAUCCAAAUGCUUGGGGACAAAACUUGGUGUUUCAAAAGUUUAGGUGCCGAUAACAGUCCUAUCGGCUAGACUAAAAGCUGAGGAAGCAGGAAAGCGCAGAUAUAAUGCCGAUGGAAACUCUAUGUGCUGGAUUGCCGAUAUAGCGCGUAGCCGAAUUUGGUUGGCUGCUUCUAUCUCCUUGAUGUCAUCAUCGGCAGAACCUUCCAUCGGCUUCAGCUUCUUCUUCAGUUGAAGUGCCUUGCGACCAUGAGCAUUUCGCUCGUGCUCAAGAAGCCUGAUGGUCUCUGGCAAUUGGCUCUCUUCCUAUUGGGCUUGGGACAGAGCGUUCUCUACUUCCUUGAGUUCCGCCAACAGGGAUUCUUUUCUUGCCGAUAGAUCGGAUAUCUUCUGCUUCAGCGCGUCUCUAGAAGAUCUCAGGAUACCGAUGUUCUUGUGCUUCUCAUCGGUCAAAAGCUUCUCUUUCCUCAUUUCAUCGAAGAGUUGAGUCUGAGCGGCUCUAUCGGCAAGACGCCGAGAAGCUCUCUGGUACUGCAGCUGGCGACUCUCCAGAUGAGCGGCUUGGAACAGGAUUUCUUCAACAUCGGCUGGGAUUUGGCCUCUGAGAGUUCUGAACAGGGUCUUGGUAGGGUCGGAAUCAUCAACCAAUUGUGCUGUGUCCUGGUGAAGGAGAGCUGACAAUUCUUCCAGCCUGACCCUGAUCUCUGCCGAUGUGAUGCCGACCGUCUGAGAAGAGCUUGCUUCUUCACCUUCUUCUUCAGAGAGAUCGAUGGCGAAGGAGAACAGGCUAUCGGGAGAAUCUUGUUCCUGGGAGGGAAAGCAAAAUUAGCUCAUACUCAGAGAAUCGGCAAAUAGUGCUAAUGGUAAACGGUGACUUACUUGCUUCAAGGCGAUCUCUUGUCUUUGACUGAGAAGUGCUGACGGAGCUGCAGGCUGAUCGGCCAAAGAUGCCGAUGGAGCUACAGGUUGAUCGGCUGAGAUUGCCGAUGGAACGAUAUCAACUGAAAGAAGACAAAAGGAGUUAUGAGACUAAAUAAGAAUAAGUUCAUCGGUAGCGAUAUUGUUAAAGUAUGUUACCUGGAGGAGGGACAACGGUUGUCUGAACUGGGAGAACUGCCGAUGGUAUAACUGGACCCACCGGGCCAGUUGUUUGUUCACCCAUGUCAGCUGAUGUAUCUUCUGUUUGAGAUCCUUCCUGUUGGGGUUCUUCUAUCUGUGGUGCUUCCUGCAUAGGUGGGGGAGAUGGUGCUUGCUGUGGCUGGGCUUCUGGAGAAGAAGGAGAAGACUCCACCGGAAUUGGAGAUACCGGAGGAGGAGGGGGAAUUGCUACCUUCUGGCGCUUUGUUCCAGUCUUAGCACCCGUGGUGCCCUUUCUCUUGGGUUGGCUAGACUGGGGGGCAUCAGUACUCUCACGCCUGGCUUUCGCCGAUGCGCCGGUUUGCUGCAAUAAUGAACAAGAGUUUAUAAGCAUAAAUAUAGCCGAUAUAAAGAUAGUCAGCAUAAAGGAAAAGAUUUGACAAAUUGCCUUGAAAGCCCGCGCAAGAGUGGGAGCAGCUACUGUUGGUGAUGUCUGGGUUCUUCUGGUGGUGACUUUCCUGAGGCGUACACCCCGAUGCACGAUGGAAGCUAGAGUGGGAGCAUUGUGGCCGAUUGAGGAAAUCGGGCCUGAUGGAAACAAGUCGAUCGGCCUGCCACUCCUGCUAACCAAUGGAGGAAUAUUGUCAACCUGCAAAAGGAAUACAAGGGUAAGCUGCCGAUGGAGGUAAUAUUGAGAAAAUGAAACGUUGGUUUGAGUUACUUACAGUGUCAUCAGGAACUUCGUAUUCGGAGUCAAUCAUGCCGCGGUAUGAAAGUGCCGAUCUGUAGAAUAGAUGCUCUUUCCAUUCUGCCCACCAUAACUUGUAUGCCUGAGUGAUAAAAGCAGCCGGAACCCAUUCUGACAGAUCUACAUCUAUAUCGGCGUUUGGUGGUAGUUGGGCUGCUCGAGUCCACUCAAGAAGGUUGUUGAUAGUUUCUCUGGGUUUUAUCACAUCGGCAUAAGGAAGUGCAAUCGGCAACUGGCCGAAAGCUAACUGGCGAGCUAAUGCCGAUGGAUUGUAAAAUUCGUAAGUUUGAGGGGAGGUUUUUGUGCUACCAAAGAAAUUCACUGGAAUGAUUCUGGGAGUCACAAUUGCCAUCAUCGCCUCAUUGUCCCUGUCGAGAGCUUCAUCAAAUGGAUUGAAGGUCAGAGGGAGCAUGCUAUCUGGGUCAUCAUAAGCCAACCAUGGUCGUUCGUCUCUGGUCAAACCCUCAUACAGAGUCUGGAAGAAUCGGCCGAUCUGAUCUGGAUUACCUCCUGAACCAGGCAGAACUAUGACAGCUUCGCCAAAGUUCAAGGGGGCGCGUGUUGCCGAUUCCUCUUCACCCAAUACAUGGUUUUCAGCUAUAUCUCUUGGGAAACGCUGUGUGAACAGGUUGAAGUUGAGACGCUUGUGCAGAUGCAGAUUGAGCCACAUGUUGACAAACCACCAGGGGCCUCCCAAGUUGCCAGUGGAUCGGCCGAGCAGAAGUUUCUGGGCUACUUGAUGGAGAAGGUGGUAAGCAGCGCCAAGCAAGUAUCGGCCAAGAGGGAAUCGGCCACCGUUAGCCAGUCUUUCUGCUGCCGAUAGGUAGACAGAAGUCGGUCCUGCCGAUCGACCACAGAAUACAAACUUGUCCAGCCACAUGUUCAGAAAGGUGGUUUGUUCCUUUAUGGUGACAGAUCCUUUCCCACGGUACUUCUGAAUGUACCCCGACCAACCGCCGAUAGCGCGAGUCUCCACUUUGGCACUAGGGGCAGUAUCAAAAAAGUGGGUGCUAUCGGCAGAAGAUAUAUCUAGACCAGUAAGCAUGGCUACAUCGGGAAGAGUAGGAGAAGCAGGGCCGUGGCCAAAGGCAAAAGCAUUGAGGGUGUCUGACCAAAAGUAGGAUGCAGCUAUCAGCAGUGACUCGUUCCUAUGCAUAUCGGCAAUGGACAAUCUAAUGCAUUGGGCUAGAUUCCUUUCACCCCACUGAACUUCAUUAGAGUUGCUGACCCUCAAGAACCAGUCUUUCCACCCUACAGUUGGGCUGGGCCAAGAGCGGAAGGUGUCCUUCCACAGAUCUAAGGAAAAAUUUUCGGCUCUGAAGGGGAUCCUGUUGGUUUCUGUGUUGAUAAGGUCAGUUGGAUCUGGGUCCCCUAGAGGGCCGAGGCAUUGAAGGUGUGGUUGAUCGGUGGGGAUGACAAUUUUGUUGGACAAUUCCUAGUGAUUUUGGGCGUAAAAAGAAAUAGAAAGAGGAAAGAAAAGGAAGAUGUUCAGUAAAAUGAAUUGCGAGUGAACAGGGAUAUGAAGAAAAAUACAGAAGACGGGGUGGAGAUUUGACCUCAGGGACGACGAACCCGACGGCCAUCUUGCUGCGAAGGAAGCGUUUGAAGGCGCCGGAGUUGGUGAAGAGGGGUACUUGUCGGAGACCUUGGGAGUUUUUGGUGGCGCCGCCGCUGGAAAAGUAAAGUUGGGUAGUAGAAUGGUGUGAUGGGGAAGGAGUACCCAAGAAGGAACUAUUUAUAGGACAAAAUGGGCAAGGGCAAAUCCAACUUAUCUCUUUGCCGCAUCCGAGAAAUCCGAGGGUACUCAGGUGGAUAUGGUAACUGUUCGCACGGUAAUCCAGGGAUUGUGCAGGUGAUUUGACGGGAAGCGGUCAUUAUCUGAAGAUAUUUUACUGUGCGAGAUCUCCUGGUCGGUCCAUCGGCAAUAUUCUAUAACGGUCAUAUUGCCGAUGGGCGGAUAGAGGGGAAGUAACCGUUUGUGCAAAUAUCCUGGUCAGAACAUCGGCAGAUCUUUGUAACGGUAUUGUUGCCGAUGUACGGCUGAGAAAAAUGCCCGUUUAGGAAGUUGGGGAUUCCGAAAAAUCUGCGGAGGAAUAGGAUCAGAGUUGUUCAGAUUGAGGUUGUCGGUUACCAGAUUAGGAGCAUUAAUUGCGGGAAAAGGCAUCAUUACUGCAGAGAAUUUCGGAGCAUUAACAGUUUUAUACUCCGAAACUGGGGGGCAUGUGUUGACACCGUUUUUGGGCACGUGUCUAGGAUGGCAGGAUAAGGUGGCAGUACGAUGUUUACAAAGUGGGUUGCCGAUGAGGAUGGUUGCCGAUGAGGGAGAAGUUGAACGUGACUAAGUCCACAGGCAGUAAUAUGGUGCUGAUGGCUAGAUAAGAAAGUCUGCCGAUGACUAUGGCAAAGGGUCUGCCGAUGAUGCAAAGAGGGAGUCCGGAAGCUGCCGGUCGUUAUGUGGAGGAGUUUCGGUUUGUCACGAGGGAUAGUUUUGUUAUUUCCUUAAUUAUUUGCAUCGUUUUGUAUACGGAUUCCGUGUAAUUUGGAAUUCGAAUUCUAAUCGUGUCUGGUUGUAGCUCUUUGAGCAGGGUAUAAAUAUAGACCCUAGGGCCUUGUAAUAAAAAAUCAAUCAAUCAAUGAAUCAAACACACGUUUUUACUCAUAUUCCAGCAUUUACUUUUCGACGACUUCGUCAUACUUUUUCCUUUUGUUACGAGUUCUUAGGAAUUCGUCGACUUAAGCUCGGCGUGUUCUCAAGUUCCGCGUGAGUACCUCUUAGCCGUGACAUCCGGGUGCAUCGCUGUUGUCAGGACUAAAGUAUUCGAGUUAUCACCUUUGCCGAUAGCAAGGUCAAAUCGGCUGGCACGCCUUAACGUUUGAAUCGGGUAUUAGCCCUUUGUGUUUGCAGAUCAGUUUUGCAUCAACAGCUAGACUUUAUAGUUAAGAAUAACAUAGGAAAUAUUCUUGUAGUUCGUCCUAAUUCCAUGCUAAUGACUUGCUAGAAUAUCUAUUGAGGUGCUUAUCAUAUUUAUAUGUGGCUAAGUUAUGCUGAUCAGAUUAAUUAUCUUUGUCACCAUUCAUACUUUAUCUAUCCUUUAUGUGACACUUAUCCCUGUAUGAAAGAGAUAGAUAAAUGCUCUCAAUUAUACAUGCAAUGAUAGAUACUCAAUUCUCUAUCCCAUUCUAUAAUCAACAUUGAUGUUUAGCAAUCCCUGUUGGGUAUUUUAAACGCAAACAGAAAAAUCCGCAAGCGCACGGAUACCGAUGUAGCUUUCACCCGGGAGUAUUCCAGAGUAUCGAUUUUCCACAGAGAACGUGAGUGUACUAAUUAAGAUCCAAGAUCGCCCAAGGAUAACUAUAUGAUUAUUUUUGGUGGGAUGAGAGGAAGUUUCUAGAGAGUUCUCUAGUUGAUCUAAGAAUCAAGAAUUACUUCAAGAUUAUUUAUUUCGGGACAUCAGAACACUAACCACAGAAAGAGAUGAGAAGGGGGCUAGGAAGGUGUGACUACGGUCCUACAAACACCAAUCCGAACGUGGUGGAAUACGUCGACCGUUAGGGCUGUCACUACCCUAGGGCUACCACAACAAUCCGUAGGAUAGGGUGCAAUUCCAGGUAAUUGCAAGACUAAACACCACGUCUAAUCUAAUAAUUACUACUCUAGCGUUAUAAAGACUAGAGCACUUGAUGCAAGCGGGAAUCCAAUAAAUAACUUGAAUGUAAAUAAAAGUAAUUAGAGAACUCAGUAAACCCGACGUGUGGGCCUUUCUUCCAUAUUUCCUGAUAACCCCCUGCAGAAAUAGACAAACACCAAAACUUGUGGAAUUCUAUCAGAUAAAACCCUAAGUCUAGGUGUUGGUUGCAUUUGGAUUCUUUUUCAUGAUUAGUUGAUGAUUAAAUGUGAGCAUUAAGGACCGUCAACAAGCUCCCCCAAGCUUAAUCUUUGCUCGUCCCUGAGCAAAGAUGAACUCAAGAGUUUCUGCAGUGGUUUCAUAACUUAAAGAUACAUAUGCGUUUAAACAAGAUCUCAUCUCUGGUUAGAGUAAACUGUUAAGACUUAAAACUUACUCAUUUACCUUUCACCAUGGGACUUGUAACCGUCACUUCUGUCUUGAGUAGUUAAAAGAUAGAACAGUCUAGUCAAGCACCAUGUCUCUUGUUCUUCGAUUAACUAUAGCUCUGGAGUUUUUGCAGAUUUUCAAAUAAAACUCAGAGAUUCCUUGUAUGACUCUCUCUAGUCUCUCUUUUGUGGUAUUUCUGGAUCCUUACCAAGGCAUUAAUGGUGUAUGCCUUAUCUCAAAGUAUGUGGUAUUUGUGGUAUAAGGCAUAGUGGCAUUGCCUUCUCUCUCACCCUAUUCUAAUAAGGCUUUUGAUAUCUGGAGCUCAUAGGUAGGAGACAGCUAAUACAUACUUACAAGACAUUUAUUGCAUAGUCAAACCAUGGAUCCAGAAGAACAAGUCAAUAAGUCAAAUCAAGAUGUGCAUGUGUGGCGAAUGAAUGGUGCAUGGUAAUGAUGGUGAUAACAAUGGUGAAACUCUAAUUCUACUUGUGCUCUUUUGAGGGGAUACAUACCUUUCUUGCUCUUUUGAAACUUUUUGAGGAGAAUGAGAUGCUCUAUAUAUUUUUUUUCUUUUUCUUCUCUCAGGUGGGUAUCUUGUACCCGUAAUUCUACUGUCGGACACUUGUCCAUUUUACCUCUCGUCUCACUUUUUUUUCUUUCAAGGUUCCGGGCACUUGCCCCUUUUUAUUUCCUCGUAUUUUUUUUCUCUCUUUUUUUUAUAUUAGAGCACACAUCUCCUGAAAUAAUAUAGCAAGUGGUAGUAACCAAGAUAACUUGAGCAUUUAUUUCACAGGGGAAAAACAGAAAUGUUUUUGGCUAUUCUCUCCCGGAUUAGGAAUAGAAUAUUUUUGGGUGGUUCUGGAGAUGGAAAUGGGUGGAUAUAUGUGGAUGCGCACUUCCGGAGUAGAAGCAGCAUGUAUGAGUGAACGUGCAAGUGAAUCUUGACUUAACCACAUGACAAGCUCCUAAGGGUCUACAGCUUGACCACACUCAAUGCUCAUAGGCAGUAAAAAGUAAAUGUGUGGCUCAAAGUCUAGCAAGCAUGUAUAUAUGGCUAUGGUAGGAAUUUAAACUCUCAUCAUACAGGAACUCAUCAUGCAACAUUUUAAAGAUUUUCAAAAAUAAAAUUCUCCAGAAUUCUAGCAUCUCUAGGAACAGAUAAACAAAAGCUCAACCUUCCCAUAUCAUAUCCGUUAACGACUUAGACUUCAGAUCAAGUACUCUUCCCACAAGUUUAGGUUUAGAGCAAAUCUUAAUUAAUAACAGUCAUGCCUAAACUUGAGAGAGAUUUCAAUUUUGAGAACUAGUCAUGGCAGAGCAACUAUUCAUCAUUUCCAUAUGAGAGCUUAUCAUGAUGGUUCAUAGCAGACUUUAUUUAUUUAUUUAUUUAGCAAACUAAGCAAAGAUAUAUAUAAGCACAAAAUCUUUAUUUGGGUUUCUAUGAUUAUGCAUCUUUUUAUUAUUAGAGUAAAGUAUAAACGCGAGUAGAAACACUUAGCUGGAUAAAUGGGGGUGCUCUCCCCCAAGCUGGAUUUUGACGAAGUUUCUUCUGAUGUAGCUAGCAGGUGGCGGAGGUGUAUUUGAAUGUCUGCAGCACUCUGACAGCGAGUAGGAUGUCCUCCGUCUGCUAGUCUUCUUUGAUCCUUGAAUUCUGUGGAGCUCAAAUAGACAACAAAGCUUUGUGGAACUAGUUAAGUGUUAGCAUAAAUAUCUAGCCUUUAUCGUGUUGAGCCUCCUCAAUAAAUGUUACUCUUUUUAGUACGAUCAUAAAUUUAUUUCUAUAAUUUUAUUUUUAUAGGACAGGAAUAUAUAUAUAUUAUUUUUUAUGGCACCACAGUGAAUGUACUUAUGGGUUUUAUGCCAUGAGCAUACUCACAUGGGGCUUACUAUUUUUAACAUUUUUAUUUUCUUUUCAAGAUGAUAUGAACCUGAUUAACUAAGCAAACUAUUUUAAAUAAUUGAAAGGAAAAAGAUAACUACCAAGUUUACCUCUUGGCAAGGUGUUCGGUGUCUUUAAGUCCUCCGAACAGGAUUCUCCGUUUUCUCAAUCAUCCUGGAAUUCGCUGGAUGGCGUAGUCGGUGGUUCCGGCGGUGCGUACUCUUCAUGUAUAACUAUCUUCUUUCUCCACACCUGCCUUGGUGCUACGGUCUCCUCAGGACAGUUCUGUUCAAGUUGUAUGUCUUCAGACCUUACAACUUCUCCUUCAUAGUCUACCCAUCCGUCCUUGAUGAUUUGCCUCCUCUGGUUGCGGUUGCAUCGUCGUCUUCUUGUCCUGACCUGCUUAGAGUCUUCAACUAUAUAGUUAGGGUCAGUAAAACAGUGGCGUACCUUCUCUGAGGGGAAGUGCAUGUGGACUUCUCUGGUUCCAAUGUACAUGAUUGCUUUAAUGGUGCUAAAGAACGGUCUUCCAAGGAUGAUGGGUGGAUCGUACUCGUCUUCUCCCAUGUCAAUAACCUUCAAUCUUUCAGAAUGUCUGAUCUGCCAUCUGGAGCUGAAUGUAUGUUGGUUGUAGGGACAUGGUUCCAUGCAGGAGCUGAUAAGUGACUGCGGCCAUUAUGUUGACGUUAGAUCCGGUGUCGUAGAGUGUCUUCUGAAAAGAAUAUUCGUUGAUUGUGCACUCGAUGCUUGGGACACCAGGGUCGUCCUUCUCGAUCAAGAAAGGUGACUUGAGUUGACCAUCUUGACCUCCUUGAGCUGCAGUGACCAUCUUAGCUGACUCGGUACACAUUUGCUUGUUCUUGUUCCUCCUGUUGGUCCUCUUCCUUGGUUCAUGUCGGGAUUGCUCUGGGAUUUCUGUAGUCUUGUUUCUUGAAGGAAAACGUCUCCUUCUUCCCCUUGAUGUAGAAACUGAUCUUGGCAGCACUAGCGUAGAUGACAGCUCCCGAGGUGUUCAGGAAUGGCCUCCCUAGGAUGAUGGGUGCCCUCUCAUCAGUUUCAAUCUCUAUCACCACGAAGUCUGCUGGAGCGUAUAAGGUACCAACUCGGACAUAGAGGUUCUUCAAUAUUCCCUUUGGGAAGCUUAGCGU